GGAGGAGAGGUGUCAUGAGAUCAUUAUUUUUGUCAAAGUAUAAUAAAUAGAUAUAUUUUCAAACCAAACCAGAUCGUUGAUAUGACUGGUAGUCGGUUUUUUCAACCCAAAUAACCCACUUCUAAUUAACUUCAACUGCUCAAGCCAAGCCUGCAGGCAGGUAACAAGUGGUGUCGUAUAUUGUAAACAUUGUUUCUUGUCUCCUGCUUUGUAUCUGUCACUUAUUUAUUUAAUAAAAGCUGUUUUUAUCUUUUUCUUUAUUUGACUAAAUUAAUCGAAACAUAAUAAAAUGUAAUGAAAUAGGUAUCCAUGGGCACACAAAAUAAGAUCUAAGCAAGUAAUUAAAAGAGAAAUUGUUUUAGCCAGGUGAACUACAGUCGUAUAUGUCUCUUAAGAACGAAAGGCACUUACUUUUUUUCUCAUCCCAAUAUUGAAAGAGGUCUCGAUUUCAAUCUUUUUAUUUAUUUAGUUUUUCGAAAAGUAGAAGGAAAACUACUUUAAGAGUAAGAACAUCCUGGAGACCAAUCAUCUACAAGGACUCCAGCCUUAAAGAAAGGGAGGGAGCUCAAUUAAUUCAUGAAUGCAACAACAACAACACAAAUACACUACCCCAUGUUAUGUAUACGAAAUUAUAUUUUUCUCUUGUUAUAGUGAAGGUGGUCAGUCUCCCGAACACUUAGCUAGGCGUAUUACUAAACCUCAUAAAUUUGUUGUGUUUCACUUAAUCAUCAUCUUGACUACACUUUUUUUAAUUUUAUCUUUUCAUCAAUCGGUUUGAAGAUUGGCAAAAGUUUAGGGAGAUGGGAGGCUACCGCAUCCCAUUAUUAGGGCAUACCAAAGUCUCUUUGAGGACUUACAGAGAAGGUCUUAGCCCCCUUUUUGGUCUUUUCAUCUGUUUUGUUUGGAGCGAUUAGGGGAAUUAAUUUCCCAACAUGUUUUACGAGUAUCCUUGCUCAUCUCCCACAUGUAUUUUACAAAUUUUUUUCCAAAAUAAAGAGUGACAGAGGUGACAAUCCGUAAUUCUGAUAUCUCUCCUCAUCUGCCUGUCGUAGAAAAAUAUUAAUCCAAAUGGACUUGAAUGGCGUUCCAAUGCCUGAAUAAAUGAUCAGUCCUUUGCAUAUAUAACACGAGCAAUUAAUAAGAUCUAACAUUUUUUUCUUUUCUAGAGACUUCUCACAACAGUCGCGUUCUUUCACAAAGAUUGGAGUGCGGGCCUCUAGGAACCAAAAAAAUGUUUUCAGAAAACUAAGAUCCGGAUAUAUUCAUCAUCAAGUUUGAUUGCUUUUUCACACGCAGGUCUUUGAUAAGUCAUAAAUGUGCUAGAUUGAUAUCCAACAGUAUUCAAUACUCAAUCCGAAAAAGAACUAAAUUUAAAAGAAACAAAUUGCACUAACAAGUUGCAUAGAUCACCAAAUUUGUAACAAGAUAGCAACCUUGACCAAGAUUUAAAACCAAAGAAAACAAGCACUCGGAACUACUAUUGAAACAAGAUUUCGACUCUCACCUUUUCGAAUUUGAUCGGUAGAAAGGUCCAUUGGGAUCGAGUUGUUUACACAGCUCAAGAUAGGUGAGGAAAAGAACUCGAUCCUUGGCGCCGGUUCGGUGAUUUUUGGUGUGCUUACAGAAAUACUUCAACUGCUCAAGCGUGCAGCAACCAAGCAUCUGCCCUAGCAGCAAAAACAGCCAGUUGAUGGCCUUCUUUUUCUCCGCUAUGAUCGGUUUCCCGCUGCUCUCUUCUUGACAAUGCCUGCACCUAGGAAGAACCGGCGUCGUCCAUGAACGCGGUGCCCUAUCACGCAGCGUGUUCUUAUUCUCAGCAACAAAACUCCCAACAUCAGUAAACUUCUCCUCCAGAUCGUACUCCACCACGAAUGACUUUUCACAUCGCUUGCACUGCACGUCACCAGUGAUAGUACGGAUACCCCUUGACAACAAGUACUCAAGAGUGUGCACCGUGGCCCGCCUGGUGGUGGCCCACGGAAAAGGGGCCGGGACAGUCUUACUCUUUCCCUCCCGAGGAACCUGAGUAGGGUUUCGUCGGGUACGAAUUGGGCGAGAUGUAGAAGGCCCCCGGCCCGGCUCUUGGGAAUAAACCAAGGGCAUGGAGGAGGGGAUGAGGGAAGGUGGUUGUUGUGUAGUCAUGUAAAGAGGGUGUGAGGGUGAGAGUUGUAGAGGUUGGGGUGGAGGGUUUUGGGCCGUGAGGGUUUGCAUGAACAAUGACGGCAUCAGCGAAGGCGGUGGUGGGGGUGGAUCUACCGGGUCCGGACUUCGUCGAGGCCUUGAUGGACGGUAAGGACUGAGAGAGAGAGCGAGCAUGUCGUCUUCGUCUUCUUCGGAGAGCAUUGGUUGGUUAAGAUCUUGGUUGUUGUUCUUUCUCUUGUUGUUGAUUCCUUGGUCGUUGUUAUUCAUCUGAAUUAGGUUUGAUGGGGAAGAGAAAAAGAGUAGUUGAAAGCAAGAAGGUAAAGUAAAAACAACUAAAACUGUGAAAUGGGGGUUUGAACGAAGACAGGCUGAAAUUUAGAGUUUUGGAGAUAAGACGAAACAGAUUCUUAUAUAUAGGAGGAAGGAAUUGGGAUUGGGUUAGAAGUCUAAUUUAAAUUUUGAAAGAAAAAGACUAUUCAAAUUCUUAUUAGUAUUUUGUUUGGCUUAGAAACGAUAUUUUACUUUAAUCUAAUCUAAACUAUCGGUAUUCGAACUUAAAUCUACUUUAACCAACUUGGGUUAUCUCAUGUCUGCUUUAAAUUUAAAUAGUAUUUUGGACUAAGUGUGUGUCCUUGGAAGAGUUAUUUUAGACGAAAAUCACUUGGUUUUGUUCACUGAACUUAUCUCUUAUCUCUAACAUAUUCCAUAAUAGCCUUCAUUUAUUAGGCAAUCCUCUAUAAAACAUCAGAUGUCGUGGAGUUCCAAAAAUAAUAGCUUUUAUUUUGAUGACCUAAGAUGUGGUGGAGUUCCAAAGUUUGUCUAAAAUAAGGUAGUGGCAUUUGUAUGUAGACAAGCUUGAUCUUAGUGACGACCCAAAAUUAAGUCCUAAUUCUUUUUCAAAUCCUGUGAAUCGUGGACCUAAUUGGUCAUGAGCAUUAAGUUUGACUAAUUUUUCUUCAAUUUUCUCGUGAGAUAUGAUGUUAGCCAAAAUGUUCCCACCACAAAUUGAACGUCAGCCAAUAUGACAUAUAAGGAGACAAUUUAUUAAGAAAAAAUAAUAUGGUACUUGACACAUUGUAAAAGUAUCUUGUAUAUUCUGGCCACAAAAAAAUAUCUUAUACAUAGCGGCGGAGCUAGUAGUUUGUCUUUCGGGGCCAAUAGCCUUAUAUUUCAACUGAUAUUGCAGCAGGUGUUUAAGAGUUAUUGACUUUUUCAAAGAGUUUGGGGGGCCACAACCACUGCAGACUUGUAUGUGGCUCCGCCCUGCUUAUACAUAUCUUAUCAUUCAUUAAAAAAAAUAUUUUUUCACAUAUUUUAACUUAUCUUCGAAUACCCUAUAUUUUUCUUUGAAUACUCCUUAAUCGGGAUAGUCUUCUCAAAACAACCAUCAUCCCAAAACUGCAAGAAACUGUCAAAAUCACCCCAAAUAAAUUUUUAAAAAACUAAUUAAAAUUGUUAAGAGUUUUCAAUUUUAACAAAGUAUGCAACAAAACAUUUUGGCUGUAAAAUCAUUACAUGCCCCGAAUGUUGUGUUACAAUAAUGUUAUAUACUCAAACAACAAAAUCUGGCUACGUAUGAACACAUAAAAAUACCACAUUUAUUAGACAUUUGACCCUUGAAGUGGUACAUUCUCUUCUUCUUUUUUUCCCGCGUUGCUCAAUAUAACACUAGAACAGUGAGAAUUUGAUGCCUCGUGGAACCCUUUCUUAGGGCACACAUAUGUAUGCAUGUAACCUAAUUCAUCAGUUUAAGACAUACGUACGUGUUAAAAUUUCAUCAAGGCCAAUUAGGACAUUCGGGUGCUGCAUUAUACCAUGAGUCUCUUUCUUUGUUGGUAUAUCUAACAAAGCCCUAGAGAUUAUCCCGCCAUCAUUCUUUUUUUUUUUGCCCAAGUUACUGUCCUUGGAAGAGUUAUUUGAGGAGGAAAUCACUUAAUUUUGUUGGUUAAACUUAUCUCUUAUCUCUAAUAUAUUAUAUAAUAGCCUUCAUUUAUUGGAAGAGGUCAAAAUUUUAUGGCAAAAUUAGGCAAUUUUCUAAAGAGCAUUUGCAAUGAUUGUUCAACAGUUCAUUUCAUUUCAAUUCAAUAGUUAAAUUUAAUGAACUUUUUUGGCAACUAUUGAACUAAAUUGCUGUUUGACUUGCAGUGGUACAAUUCAAUAGAUUACAAAUUUAAAAUUAUAUUUUUUAAAUAUCUUGUUAAAUGAUUGAGUAAAAUAAAAUAAAUAAAGUUAAUUACAAUAAGACUUAUACAAUUAAAAUGGUUUCAAAUAGAUCUUCAAAAAGAGGCCAAUUUUGAAAAUAUAUAAUUAAUUAAUAUAAAAAAAACUUUCUUUAGUUUGUGACAAUAUUAUAUUAACAUUUUUUUUUUCUGAAGAAUUGAAAGUUGAGAUUAAAUGAAAACACAUCAAAGCACCUCUUUUUUGAGUUAUUGUACAAAGUAAUAUUGUCCAUGUAUCAAUAAGAGAGAGGUUGUAUAGUUAUUAUGGUGGGCCAGCUUCUUAAAAUGAACUAUUGAUCCCUGAAAUGAAAUAUUGAUCUCUGAACUUUAUCACUGUAAAUAAAAAAUUCAAUUGAAAAAUGCUAGGCUUGCCGCAUUUUUCAUAUCACAUUGUGUACCACCUCUCUAAUAGAGGUGGCCUCAUUUGUAUUGGUGGGCUCCACCUCUAUUAGAGAGGUGGUACACAAUGCAGUAUAUAAAUGUGGUAAUCUAACAUUACCCCAUUCAGUUUAUUGAAAUAAAAUUGAAUUAACCCUCAUCAUUGUAGAUACUCUAAUAAAACAUCAGAAAUUAAUCAAAUCAGGAAGCGGAGUUCCUAAAAUAAUAGCAUUUAUUUUGAUGACCUAAAGAUGUGGUGGAGUUCCAAAGUUUGUCUAAAAUAAGGCAGUGGCAUUUGUAUGUAGACAAGCUUGGUCCUAGUGACGGCCCAAAUUUUAGUCCUAAUUCUUUUCCAAAUCCUAUUAAUCGUGGACCUAAUUGGUCAUCAUCAUUAAUGACACAGUGUUCGAAAGAUGCAUCCUGGUUUUCAAUCUUGCUUAGACUUGUAUUAUGUGUAUUUUGAACAUGAAAACGUAUUGAUUAAGUUUGACUAAUUUUUCUUCAAUUUUCUCGUGAAAUAUGAUGUUAAGACUAAUAAACCAUGCAUAAAAAGUUCCCACGACAAGUUGAACGUCAGCCAAUAUGGCAUUUUGACGAAAUAAUCUGGUAUGUUGAUACGUUGUAAAAGUAUAUUGUAAAUAUCUUAUCGUUUAUUAAAACAAAACGAAACUUCCGUUGUAAAAGUAUAUUGUAAAUAUCUUAUCAUCUAUUAAAACAAAACAAAACAAAACAAAAUUAAGCUACAAUAAGAAGAUCGAGAUGGAUGCAUUAAUUUAACCUUUCAAAUCUCAUUCCUCCAAACUCAGAAAAAGAAGAACCAUUCAUGGAAAAGUAAUACAAAAAAUCCAUCUUCGGUUUAUAACAAUUGUUUCCGUAAAAUAUCAAUUAUGGGUCUUGGUCUCAUAAACCAACUUACUUUUCUUUAAUGUAAAAUAACCAAAGUACACUACUUAACAUAAGAUGGUUGAGAUAGUUUUGGUUGGAACUUGUCAUUUUGCUCAUGCGAAAAUAGAUUUGGUUGGAACGAAUAUUCUAGAUAGUUUGGUUUUUGUAUCACAUAUGAUUUAGACCAUCUUUAUUGCAUUUCAACCCUCGUAGAAGGUCAGUUUGGAUUCAUAUAUAGGCAUCAGAUCUCCCCGAAGCUGUGAAGCCUUCGAUGGUGUUGAUGGGGCUGUGAAGCUGUUCGAAGAGAGAGAGAGAGGGGAUUGAGGGAUCAGACACAAAAAAGAAACAAUUUUUCAGCUUGUUUACAUUUUUUUUACAUUUAUUCCUUCGAUUCACCAACCUACUUUGGAGAGGGGGAGAGAGAGAAUAACAAGUUAGUUUGUCCAGAGAGAGAGAAUAAAAAGCAAAACAAAAUGGUGAUAGAGAAAAAGAGAAGUGCUGAUUGUAAGAGAGAGAAAAUUAACCAAUUUUUUAAAUGUUUUAUUUUAAUUUUUUAUUAGUUUUAAUUAUUAGAAUAUUUAAUUAUAUCUUUAUCUACGCGGAGGUGGAUUCCACUUACUGUGUCACUCUUUAUUGGUGGAUAACAAUCAAUGUGUAUGAAAUUAUAAAAAUGUCCCUGCCACGUUAUCAUAGUUAACAGACUUUUGGACGGAGUUGACAUAAAAAGCAAAGUGAGUCACCAAACCACGGUCAAGCGAAGUAAAUGGGCCACUUUAAGUUUGAGGGUCUUUCGAGAAAUGAGAUAUUGAUCCAGAAUCCUUUUGUUUAGAUGACUCUACUAAAAAUUUGGAGGAAAUGAGAUAAAAAGGGUUGGACGACAUUAUGCAGGUGUUCACGGCCAAACAUCAUCCGCACUGUCCUCUAUGCCUAGUCACUUUUCUCUUGGAGGGAGCUCAAGCACAAUGAUUAGUGCAAAAGCGAAGGGAAAUGUAUUGAAACAGUAAACUUUAAUUUUUGUUUCUGCAUGCAAAUUUUAAUUAUGAACUUAAUUAUUUUAUGAAUAAGUGAUUUUUUAUUUAUUCAAUAAGUUAUGUAUUUUAUUUGUUAAAUGUAUUGAAAGAAUUGUGACUUUCCUUCUUCCUUAGCAAUUCUUGAACAAUCUUGUUCUCCUGGACCUUAGAGGAAGUUUUGAUCACUCACCCCUGGAUCUAAUCUAAGGGUUGAGAAAAAACUGAUUUAAAUAUCAAUAUGUCAAGAUUUUAUUAUUUUUACUGUACUAAAUAUUAAUUUAAAUUAAACAAAAACAAAAAAUGUAAAAAAGAAAAAAUCACUCCAACCAAAAGACGCUCUCUCUCUCAAAAAAUCAAGAACAUGUUCUUCAUCCAUUGUUGUUCACAACUGCCUUCAACUCCGGCAUUGCGACGAAAAUCAAGAAUACGUGUCGUUUAAGAUUCACUUUAAUUCUUAUUGGUUAUCUAUUUCAUCUCUUGAUUUAGAUUCAAAUAUUCAAUUAUUUCAUAAACAAAAGAAAAUUUAUUGACCCAAAUUCGGAGCCAUCAAGCCAUCCCUUUACACUUUAACGUGAUUGGAUUUCAAGGACCCACAACCAAGUCAUUUUUCAAUUGUUCUAUGCCUUUGUGAUCAAUUUGCUAUUUAUAAAUGUUAGAUUUGAAUGAUUCUUGAACCAAGUUUGGGAAAACUUCAAUUUUUUAUAAACAAAUUUAGGGUUUUUUUGGGGGUUUUUUUUUUCCCCCCAAUUCAUGAACCCAGACUUGGGUUUUUGCAACUAUAUUGUAGUUUCAUCUAUGAUAUUAACUCGUUUUUUUAAAUUUAAAAAAAAGUUUUAAUAACUGAAAUAAUAUUUUACUGCAGUAAAAGUAAAAUAAAAGAUGACAUAUUAAUAUUUAAACUUUUUUUUUCAAUUAUUAAAUUAGAUCCAAGGAUAGGUAAUCACAACUUGAAACCAGAAGCAGUACUUUUAUUAUAUUGAUACACCCACCCACCCAACCUCUAGUAAGUUCUCCCUAACGACACUUCUACCCAAUUGCCAUGGCAAAAGACAAGAGUAAGUAAAUGCAAUUACUGUUCACAUGAAUAGUAUUUGUCAUAGCAAUUUUUUUGGUGCUUUUCCAUUAAUUGUCAUGGCAACUCAAGAGUAAUUACCAUUCACAUGAGAUUUUAUGUAUGAGAUUAAUAAAUAAAAAUUUGCUAGGUAUGUAUUUAAAAAAAAUUCUGAAUAAUUUUUAAGAAUUAAAAAUAAAAUAAAAUAAAUUGCUGAUGUCAGUGCCCCUCUGACAGCAGCUCGGGCUAUCUUGCCUUGGGCCUUGCCAGCUCUUGCCCGGGUUGGAUGUCACCGCUGGAGCUGAUUUUGGGAGACCAGGGGAGGCUUUUGUCCGGGCUGGGCUCUUGGAAUCCAUUCAUCCAAAAGAAUCCUCUUCCGAACCCAAUAUCUUCCUCUCCCUAGUCCCUCAUGUGCCCUCGAUUGCUCGUCUGCUGUCGGCGGUCAGGUACUGUUUUGGAGCCGCGACGUCGUCAAUCAGGUACUGUUCUCGCCUCUGGAACUGAGUCGUUAAAUCUUUCGUUCCGCGAUUGGGUACGCUCGAUCCAGAUCGAAAUUCGUAUGGGGGUGAGCGAAUUAGGCAACUAUGCUGCUAACUUAUCUUUUCUUAUUCUGGGUUUCGUAAUGUUUACUUCUGUGUCACCCAAAUACAGUAAGACCAGCGUGUUAAGAGCUUCCGGAUUUAAUUUCCAAUUUGUCAUGGUUUUUGUUUUGUUUAGGGUUUAAGUUCUUACUGUUGCACCUCUUAAUUUAGGUUUUUUAUUAUUCACAAAUGAGUUUGUUGUUGAGUUCUAGUUAAAUUUCAUCCAGGCUCUGCCCUGAAGCAGAUUAGAGGGCCAUGGUGAGGAAGAGGCCAAACAUAUUGGUGACGGGCACACCAGGAACGGGGAAGACAACAACAUCGUCUGCCUUAGCAGAGGCAACACAGCUCCACCACAUCAACGUCGGUGAUUUGGUGAAGGCCAAGAAUCUCCAUGAUGGGUGGGAUGAUGAGCUAGACUGUUACAUCAUCAAUGAAGACCUGGUAUGCGACGAGCUUGAGGAUACCAUGGAAGAAGGAGGGAACAUUGUGGACUACCAUGGUUGCGAUUUCUUCCCUGAGAGAUGGUUUGAUCUUGUGGUUGUGCUCCAAACUGACAACACCGUCUUGUAUGACCGCUUGACUCGAAGGUAAUUUUCUUCAUCACUGCUUCUUUUCUAGCGUUGCUUCCUUGGGAAUUGAAAAGGAAAACCUAUGUUUAUGGCAUUGUGGGUUUUCUUUUUUAAUAUUGUGGCAGAGGAUAUUCGGAGUCAAAGCUCUCCAACAAUAUUGAAUGUGAAAUAUUUCAAACUUUGCUUGAGGAGGCAAAAGAGAGCUACCCAGAAGAUAUCGUGCUUCCCUUAAAGAGUGAUAGCAUCCAAGACAUUUCGACUAAUCUUUCUACUUUGGCAGAAUGGGUCCGGAGGUGGCAACCUUCAACUUAGUUUCGACUAAUCUUUCUACUUUGGCAGAAUGGAUCAAGCUUUUGAGAUGAAUUUUUCGUGUACUAUUAUUACGACAUAUUUGUUUUCUGUCUCGUAUCAGUUUUACCAUUAUGUUAUGUCUCUCGCUUGAAUUGCUAUUGUUCAUUGAAGGGGUUUGAUGAAAUGAAUUUUGUAAUGAGGGGCAUUCAUAGUGACUAGAAAGUUUGUAAGGAGGAUGCAGCCUGCAAAUUGGCUUGAGUUUUGGUCCUGUUGGACUCUAGAAGAAGACCAUCAUUUCGUCCCAAGACACCUUCUUCACUGGCAGCAUGCUUUUGCUGCUACCCUUGAGAUCAGCAACAUUGAAGGAGAAAAAAAAAUUUAAGACCCGUUUGAUAAUUAUUUUUAUUUUCAUUUUUUUACGCUAAAGUAUAGAGGAAAGAAGAAUAAUGGAAAUGUGAAGAUGGAAUUGAUGGAUCAUACAUAAAAUUUGUCAAUAUUUCAUUGAAAUUAGUACAAAAGCAAGGAGAAUUUACUGUUUUGUUAUCUCGGUCAAUAACGCUAUGAUAAUGUAAUAAUAUUUUCACAUGGCUUGGUAUUAUUGGCAGCAUAGCAAAACAGUCUAUUCCCCCCGCAACCAACCGUUUCUCCAAGCGAAGAGGGAAAAAUCGAAACUGCUGAUUCACAGUCGCAUCAAGCAAAGAAAUAUGCUGAGAAGAAGAGUCACAUCCCUUCUCUCCACCACCAUUCGCAGCUCCUCAAUUCGCACUAAACCUACUCUCUCAGCCUCACCAAUCUCAUUCCAAUCCCUCCAUUUCCUCCAAUGCCCAAACCCUAACCCUAGCAUUAGCAAUGCCAAAGGAUUUGGCUUUCAGCCUGAGGGAAUGAGAGCGUACAGUCUGCUGAGCUUGAACGAUCUGAGAGGCAAGGUGCCCAGGAAGCAGAAGACGAGGAAAGGCCGUGGGAUUGGGUCUGGUAAAGGUAAGACUGCUGGUCGAGGCCACAAGGGUCAGAAGGCUAGAGGCUCCGGGAAGUUGGGGUUUGAAGGUGGGCAGACGCCACUGCGACGUCGUUUGCCCAAGCGUGGGUUUAAGAACCCCUUUAGCCUCACUUUUCAGGUACCCUUUCUUUUCUUUUUCUUUUUCUUUUUCAUUGUGUGUAAUAUGUAUUGCUAUUUGUUUAUGGUGUUUUGCUGCUAGAUGUAUGGCACUGAAGAUAAGCUUUAUGCAUGAGUUCGAGCACAAUUGGUCCCUUUUUAUUAGAAUAAUUGAAUAGUUAGUUUGUUUCAUGCCUCUUAGACUUGGUGUAUGCGCAAAGAGGUUGAUCAAUUAACUUAUUCCUGUUAUAUUUGUUUUAUAUGUCAAUUCAGGUUGAUAUAUUUAGCAGAUAUAUGUUUGGGAUCAUCAAUCAUGUACUCUGUAAGAUGGCCAAAGUGCUCUGGUUGUGUUGUGUCGACACACACAUCGUAAAUGGUAGAAGCCUUUAGUAAAUAAUGAAAUACUGAAUUUUGCAAGCCCUGAGCUAUAAUGACCACCAGGGUUUUAUGUUAACUGUGUGAAUAUGCCUGUUUUGAUAGAUAAUAAGGGAAGUAGCUUCCAAAGGUGCAAUGGUAGUUGGUACUGAAGUAAAGUUUGCUGCUAUGGCUAGCAGAUUUAUCAUUUCCUUUUAAUUGAAUUUGAAUCCAUUGAAAGCCUUUUCUGUUUCUGGAUGAUUUAAUUGUAUCACAUUUAUUUCCAUUCAUUUUCUGAUAUUUUAUACAUGUCUUUGUGGCAGCCAGUAGGAUUAGGAAAAAUUGCCAAACUUAUAAACGCAGGAAAGAUUGAUUCGUCUGAGUUGAUUACAAUGAAAACACUCAAGGUGCAGUAAAUUCCUUCUCAGACUAUUGAGCCAAUUCCUGCAUCAACUUUGUUUCAAUCUGUCAAUUAUUGUUACAAUAGGAUACAGGGGCAAUAGGGAAGCAGAUUAAAGAUGGAGUCCGAUUGAUGGGACGUGGUGCUGAACAGAUCCAGUGGCCAAUUCAUUUUGAGGUAUAUGUUCAUCUAGGCUUUCUACAUGAUGUACUUUUUUGUGUUUUUUUCACCGUAAUUCUUUUGUGUGCUGGUUCAUCAGGUAAUCCCCAGGACUUUGAUACUGACAUUGACUUGAGUGUAACCUUGUGCACUUGAUAUCAUUGUUGUCACUUACAUGCAAAUCAUGCGAGCUUCCUCUUUUCCUUGCAUGCAACUCAAAAAUGGAUUUACAAAUGAGGUUUGCAGGUAUCGCGUGUCACUGUGAGGGCAAAGGAAGCCGUUGAAGCUGCAGGUGGGUCUGUCAGAAGAGUGUAUUACAACAAGUUGGGCUUUCGAGCAUUGCUGAAACCUGAGUGGUUUGAAAAGAAAGGCAGGUUAUUGCCAAAGGCAGCGAGACCUCCCCCAAAACAGAAGGACAAAGUCGAUAGCAUCGGCCGCUUGCCUGCCCCAACCAAACCUAUUCCUUUUUUUACUGAAGAGGAGGUGGCCUCCAGUUCAUCCACUUAACAAAAAGGGAGCAAAAUCAGUUCUUUUUUAGAAUAUUUGUACUUUUACAUUAAGUUCCUUCACAUGCUUUGCAUGAACUGUUCUCUUUCAUAAGAAACAGUAAUUUUGUUACAGGGAAAAAUGAUCUGGAGGGAUAAAUGGAAUGAGUAAAGCUUUUCAUGUUGCCUCAGGAUCAGCCCAUUUCAGACUUCUGCACCUUCUAGUUCUCAAGAAAAUGAACUUGAUCAUCAGAUGCUUUGACAUGGUUUAACAAUUUUACUUGAAGCAUCUCACUUUUACCUUAGACGAAGGAAUAACAAAAGCUUUGUUAUGCCAAAACCCAACAGGUUUCUGUAAAUCAGAAACUCUGCAUCGGAGACGAAGGAAUGGCUUUAUUGUCUUAGUGUUUCUAGUUUGCGCCUUUUUACCGGUUUCAGUUCCGUUGUACUAUAAAUCCCCCCUUAGAAGCUUUUCUUAACGUACUUCAUGCUCGAUUGCCUGGCUCAAAACUUGGGUUCAACAAAUCUUUUACCGUUGCGGAAGGUUGAGGAGGAUAAAUCUUGCGUACAAUUCAUUUUUCACAUUGAAUCUCUUGCAUGACUAGCAUGGAACCAGCUUUACUAGAAUUUCUCUAUCAUCAAGUCUCUUCCUCUUUUAAAUUAAAGCAAUUCUCUAUCAAAACCUUGUGCCUUUGUUGAAUUUGAAUUUUUGUUGUGAUGCUUUCACCUUGGAAACUCAAUGAGAUCUUGCAAUGGGCAGAUCAAUCAUAGUUCUCCUCAAGGUAGGGUUUACUUCUUCCGUCUAUCUAACUUGCCGGAGGAACACAAACAUUCCGAAGGCAUAUACACAUCUCGCAUAUCCUAAGUUAUCCAAUUUUGAAGAACAACACAAUAAAACUAUUAGCAGUUUUACAUACAAUUAAAAUCAAAUAAGUUAUAAUGUUGAGUUGAUUCAUUCAAUCCCAUGACCAGAUAUUCUAAUUCAUUAUCUUUUAAGCCAUGCACCAAAAAGAAUUGAACCCGCAACUCCACCUCACUGUAACCAGCUUACUACAAUAUGAAAAAGGACGCAUUUCUAGUUUCUUUAAAUUAAUAGUUACUUUCUUUUUAGUUUCCGAUUCUAAUUAGGAUUUGAUUUACUUUCCUGAUUUUGGUUUAAUUUUACUUUAAAUCACGGCUCUCUUGCAUGCUACUCCAAACUCUGAAAUGGCCUAAGCAUGUCAGUUAAGACUCUUUUAAAAAAAAUACAAUUAAUUGUCUAAAUUAUUAUAAAUUAAUCUAAUAUAAGGGGAAGGGGACUCAAACUUAGGUGUAAGGAGGUAAGCACAUUGCCCUGGCCAACUGACCUAAUCCACGUAUGGCUAACUGGCAUAACCCACAGCUUGAGUUAAAACUUACAAUAUAAGUAAUUAAAUGUACAUUUCGUUUUGUUUCUAAAGGUGCGCUUAGGCUUUUCAUUGACUCAUUCUUGUUGAGGAAAUGACGAGAGUUUUUAAUUUGUAUUUUAGGCGGAUGAGUUAUAUUUUGAUGAAAAAUAUCAUUUUAAAGCUUAUCGCAUGACGAGACGUAACAUAUUAUAAAUAAAGUUUAUGAUAAUAUGCCAUAACAGGAAUCAACAGUCCUGAUCUCUUGGACUACAAGGUCCAAGAGAUUUGUGGUCAUUUACCGUUGGAUGUAAAUUCAACGGUUCACUCACUCUUGCACUCAUUUUAAGAAAGUUUUUUGAACCGUUGGAUGUUACAUCCAACGGUAGGUGAUCGCAAUCUCUUGGACUCCUGUGGUCCAAGAGAUCGGGACUGCAGGAACCAAAUGAUUAAAGAUUGACUUGAACAAAGAACCUUCAUAAAAUUUAGGGCAAAGUACAAGAAAAACCCUAUAUAGUUUAUGGGAUCUUCGAAUUUUAUUUCAUAGGAGUUCUCCCAAUUGAAAUUCGUUUUAGAUUCUCCAAAUUGCCAAAGGAAAAAAGAAAAGAAAAAACGUAUAAAAAAGUUGCUAAAAAGAAGGAAGAAGGCCUUUAGACAUAACAGCCCGCCCAGCCAUCGUCUUCUUUUCUGAAUUUCUUCUGCGUUCUAAGUUCUACUCUUCUUCUUCUUCAAUUCUAAUUUCUAAAAUAACCUUAACCCUAUUUUUUGGUCCACAAUUGCUUUCAUUACCCACAAACGGGCAAGGGAAAAAGGGGAGACCCAUCUCACAGCCGAAACCAGUAUCAGCUUCAGUUCUAAAUAAUUGAAUCGGCUCCUUUUUAUUUAGGUAAAUUUCAAUUUCAUGAGUUUAAUUUCAGCCCCUGUGUUUGAUUCUUUUGAUCUUUGAAUCAAUUAUUGUCAUAGCUUAUAAGCACAUCGAUGCCAAAUUGAUCUGGGUUUUAAUAUCUGAAAAAAUCCCCCUUUUUCUUUAUUUUGCUUCUCUUUUUAAUUUUUGUUGUUGAAAUUUUGUGAAUUCUGAUUGGUAUUUCUAUGUUACCGUUGUGGAAUGUUUUUUCCUAGAAUUUAAUUUCUAUAUCGAGUUAUUUUAAUGUAUGUAAUGUAUACCCAGGUUUAAAGUAACAGAGAAUUGUGAUUUAGUAUGAAAUUCUGGUUCAAAUUGAAAAUAAAAAUAGAUUAAAGCUAUUAUCUUUUGUUCAUUGUGUUGUUGGUUCACCAUACUGAUUGAAUAUAAAGAUAUUGGUACCCUGGAUUUUUAUUUCAGUUAUAUGCAUUUAUGCAACUUUUUACCUUCCCUCAAUUGUUCACAGUUUCCUAACGUUUCAUCACUAAUUUUCACUAGCCAAUACGAGCCGCAAAAUGGACAACAUAGUAGAUUCUCUAAACAAUGCAUACCAAGAGUUCGUUGUUGCAGCAGCUAAUGUGCUCGAAGCCAAGGAAACUUCUGGCGCCCAGAAAACAGCAGCCACAGAUGCUGCUCUUGAGAAUUUUAAGCAGAAGUGGGAGCUUUUCAGAGUCACUUGUGAUCAAGCGGAGGAGUUUGUGGAGUCUGUGAAGCAAAGGAUUGGCUCAGAGUGCCUGGUGGACGAGGCAACUGGCUUGGUGGCUGGGAAGUCUGGGCAAACCGCAACUGGUCUUCCACCCAUUAGUGCAGUUCGGUUGGAACAGAUGAGUAAAGCUGUUCGAUGUCUUGUCAUAGAACUUCAAAAUGGUUCUGGAACUGCUGCUGGUUCAGCACAUUCUCAUCUGUCAACUCCUUUUGAUGGCAGAUUCUCUGAAGAUUCAGCUCAAUAGGUAUGAAGGUUCUUCUAAGCUCGUAUUGAAAAUUUUGUAAAUGCAUUUUUUCGCUAAGAAAACAUCUGAUACCCCUUCCAAAUGAUUUUGAAUGCAAGCUUAAGGGAGUUGUGAUUUCCUUAUUGUUGUGAGCUUGGGUUGUGUCCCCUUUGGCAUUUACUUGAGCUCACUUCAAGUAGAUGCCACACUUUUUAAUGUAUGGCUGGCUGCUACGACAAUCUAUUUCUAUAUACACAAUCUGAUAAUUAAUGUUUCUACAUAUAAUCUGUUGUGUGUGUGUUUUAAAUUUCUUUCAUCAAAGGUAUGUGUCGUGUGUGCGUUUUAGGACAGGAAUUUGAACAUUUUCACAUAUUUGUUGGUUUUAAAUUUUUAUGAUCAUGAACUUAAUUAUUUAAAAAAUAAUAAUCAUGAACUUAAUCAGUUCAAACCUCAUGUAUACUUAUAUUGUUCUUUCAAUCACUUUUCUUUGUCAUAUAUACAUAUGAAAAUGAUUGAGGAAUUCAAAUACUUCCAAAACUCGGUUAAAAGUAAAUUCCAAGGCCUAUAUUUAUGCCAUACAUUUUGCUUAAAAAAUGUUCGUUCUUAUUAAGAGGUUUUUCCUGGAAGAUGUGAUCUUUACCUGCUAUUAUUUAGCCCCAUAUGUGUGUUACCACGUUUAGUUGAGUUCUACUCCAGAGAAGAAGGUGUUGUAUUGUGGUUUUUUGGUUUUGGGCAAUUUAGAGUACAGGAGAACUGAUAUAUUUAAGCUGUGGCAGAGGAUCGUCAGGUCUUUGGGCGCGGGCUAUCAACAACAAUGAAAAGAUUGUUAGAUAUUAAAUCUAACAGAGGAAAGCAAGGUGGUAGACCCCUGUGUUUGGGUGAUAUGGAAUGCAUAGAAUGCAGUCAUACAAGGUUCCACGUUCCAUUCAGUCGAUAUGGUUUUUCUCGGAGAGCUGCCUCAGUUGGGCAAAGAGUUGUAGUUUUAGUGGAAGGGACACGCUUGUGUUUGUAAUUUACCCUCGCAUUUCACUUAAUCUUCCCUAAUGUAUUGUUAGAACUAGAGUUGAGUUUUUCUAUCUGACUUUGAACAGCUGAACAAAGAGCUAAGAGCUUUGUCGAUGAGACAAACUAAUGGUCGAUUACGGUUGUUUUUCUUUUUGUGAUUUACUCCUGUGUGUAAUUUAUUCUUGCCUGAUGUAUUAUAUAAGAAAUGCUGGAAAGUAAGCUCAUUGUUGCCCAAAUUUCCUCCUUCACAUUAACCAAAUUUGAUGUCUCCAGUGAAUCAACUUCCACAUGCAAUGGCAAAAAACAAGCAUCAACUGCAAAAUCCAGCCCCAAUAUGAGAGCUAAAAGUUGUGUAUCUAGCAUUGCUUAUGUUGUGCGUUGCAAAGGCUCCUAUUAACAUCCAACUAAUAAAGCAGAAAUGUUCCAAUUCAAGAUCAGAUAAAGCACUUCUAGCUUGUUCAAAUAAAUGAACAAAACUUUUAGAUCUUCCAGCUACCAACCAACCUCACCAUAAACUUUUAUAUCAGAUAAAGCACUUCUGAUUUCCGUAUCACAUUAAUGCAUUCCAUGUGCUUCAUUUUAUUACAAUUCCAAUUCCAUUUUUCUGCCACACAAUGUAAUUUUCCCUAGCUGGUACUCAAAACGACGUCGUAUGGGUUGCUCUCCUCGUUUUCUAUUUUGGUUGGAAACUCUCCACGUUUAUGCACUCUCUCUUUUGUCCCGACAUUCCAUCUGCAAAUAGUGUGCGUUCUUCUUUGUCCCUCAUAUGGAGUGAGAAUUCCCUCUCAUUCUGUCUCUUCUGAAGCAGAUAUUUUAAAAUUUUCUCUUUCGAAAUGCUCUGAAGCACAAUUAACCUGAACCGAAAAAAAAGCAGGAAUUUACGUGAACUCAAUUGCAGCGACCAGAAACACAAGUACAAGUGUGAAAGAAGACAAAUCGCAAAUAUACAUCACAACCCAGAAACCACAAAUCGUUGCUCGAAUCCAGUACACAAUUUAUGUUGAAGGGUUAGUUUAAGGCUCACUUCAGCUUUUAUAUAUUGGAUGAAGCUUGGGUAAAACAGGGAAAGAGUUAGUUCAUACACAGAGAGACUGGUGGUUUGGCUUUGCUGCUCUGUUUCUCUCACUCCAAUAUUCGCCAAUUUAUUUCUGGUAAGUGAGAUUAGUUUCUGAUGAUUUCUUGAUUCUCUGAUUGAAUUUAUUGCUACCCUUUUAAUAAUUGGGUUAUUGAAAUGUUGGGUUUCAAUCGAAUUUUUCUUUUCUUUUUUCAGAAUGAUGGAUUUGAGGAUUGAUAUGCAGCGGGCUUCCUUUGCUCAAGUAAGUGCUUAAGUUUCUUCUUCUGUGAUAUUUGCGUAGUGGGUAUCUUUUGCUUUGGACUGAACUUCUGUUGCACCGAUACGCCAAAAAUUGGGGGUAUGCCCGUAUCAGAUACCGCCCCGAUACAAUACGGCACCGAUACGGGGAUGUUGACUUUACGAUACGGCUCCGAUACUCCAUCGAUACGGUCAUGAUACGGUCUCUAUACGUCAAGGGAUAAUUUUGACGGCAACCAAAAAAGAAGAAGAAGGAAGAAUGAAGAAGAAAAGAACUUACUUGCGCUUGCAGCUGCUGCGAUUUUUCAGUUGCUGUGCGAAGAAGGGGCGGCUAAUUAGUGAAGAAGAUGAUGUUAGGUGCCCUAAUUACAAUACACACCGUUUUAGUUGCAUGUUAGGUGGCCUAUGUUAAAAAAAAUUGUUUUAUACAAUUUUAAAUCCGAUGCAUUCAUUUGGGCCCAGCCCAAUAACUGAAACAAGUCAUAUAUGGCCGAGAAAAACAUAAGGAUCCAGAAGAAAAGGCCCAAAAUGCUAAUUUUACAUAUAUAUGUUUAUAUAUUUAUAUUAUUUUAAUCGUCGUAUCGGUGCCGUACCUGUAUCUUUAUCGUACUUUUUGGAGAUUUGCUAUAUCGGCAUAUCGUAUCGGAGUACCUGUAUCCGUAUCGGUGCAACAUAGGGACUGACACAUAUCUUGUGCUCUUUAAUUUCCAGCGCAAAUUACCCGUUAGAAGUUUACUCCUUUUACAUUGUAAUUAGAUUGCUGGAUGGUUGUCCAUUUGGUGUUUCCUGGUUGGAGGUUGAGGCUUUGCUCUAGAUGAUUUUAGCCCACAAAAGACAAAUUAGUCUAUAUGUUUCAAUUUAUUUUGGAAGCAUAAUCAAUCUAACUAAAAUGGUCAUGUAGGCAAACAAUAGGAUAGUCACUGUAAAAAGUUUGUUGUGAUCAUAAAAAAUGGUAUUGACAAGCUUUUCAAUGUGCUUAUUGACCUACUAAUUAGUUCGACUUUGUGUUUUGUUUUAAAUUCAGAUAUUUGUUGUAGUCCAUAUAAGAAAGGGCCUAUUUCUUAUCGUCUUCUACAUAGUUGAAGCACCUUCAUAUGGCAUAAUGAAGUAAAAGAAUAUGAUUGAAUUUGAUCUGUACAUUAUAGUGAGGUUGUUCUUUAAAAUUGGCAUGGGGAAAUUAGGAAACCUUGAGUUUGUUUUCUACCUCACCAAAUAAUUUGACAAAAGAAUAAAGUAGUGCAAAGAAGGCUUCUUUGAAGCUUUAUUCUUUGGAUGAUGGCUUUGUGUAAUUGAUGUUGUUUCUCUGUUCAUGUAAUCGGAAAUGAGUUUUAAUGUAGGUAAUAAACUUUUAAGAUAAAUUAUGAGCCUGAAAAGAUUGCAAGCUUUUUGAGAGGGUAAUGGAUUGUGAAUUAUUGGGCCAUUUAUUGCAAUAUCAGAAAAGCUAUGUAUUUGGAUGAUUAUGGCUGAUCGAUAUUCAUUCAUUUCGUAUGCUAUUUACUUCGAUAUUAAAGUCAAUGUUGAUCCUGUGUUGUGGCUGCUGCAGAUUGGCAAUCUCGGGCUUCUGCUCCUAUGGCAUAUUGUACACCUUUUUGUCAGCAUAUGGUACUUUCUAUUGGGUUUAGCUUAUGUGCUUCAAAGCUAUCUUAUUUCUGGUGGAGUACUCAAGAGCUACAAAGCCCUUAAUUUGGGCAAGCUACGGUACCUGGCAAUUGUGAUAGAAAGUGAAGAAGCUUACCAAACAUCAAAAGUAAUUGAGCUGCUGCAGUGGCUAGAAGCUAUUGGUGUGAAGCGUGUGUGCCUCUAUGAUACAGAAGGUAAUGGUGGUUUGCUAUCCUGAUUGAUGUCAGACACUUUCUACUAUUGGUAUGCAACAAUGUAACGUGUAUUUAAAUCUUGUACAAUUAUUUGACUUUUCUGAUGACCAGGAGUGUUGAAGAAAUCAAAAGAAGCCAUCUUGAAUAAACUGAAAAAUGCAAGCGAAUUUAAGGUGUUGUCUUCUGUCCCUACAGUAAAGUUACUUUCUGGUUCUACAAUUCUCCACCAUAAAUUAACUAAUUAGCAUACUGGGAAGCAGUUCAGGCCGUCACGAUCAAUCUUCCAUUCUAGGUGUAUCUAGAAUUCAGGAUUGUGUUGAGACCAACAGAGUUUUCUUUUGAUACCAAUACCAAGCAAUUGCCUUUAAUUUUUGUUUUAUAUUUUUAAUAUGACUCCUAUAUAAAGCAUACAUUGUUAGUCCACCACUAGAUUACUGACGUAGGGCGAGUGAGGGUUAAGUUUAUGCGAAGUAGUACUUUUUUCUUUAAAUAUAUAGAUCUGAUAAAUGAUUUGUGCCUUUCACAAUGGACAGUUAUGCAUUAUUUAUGAUGCUAAAGUGUAUACCCAACUUAACAUCCACGCUGUGCAGGCUUAUGAAGAUUUAGUCGAUCAAAACCGCAUGGCUCUGGAAAUUUUGUCAUUUUCUGAUGGAAAAGAAGCUGUAACCAAAGCAGCUAACUUACUUUUUGUGAAGUAUUUGAAGUUGGCCAAAUCAGUUGGAGAUCAUGAAGAGAAAAUCUUUACAGAACCUAACAUGGAUGAGGCACUAAAAGCUAUUAGUAUGUUUUACUGUCCGAUGCUCAAUUGUCUACAAUAAUGGUUACCUGCACAAUUCAAUUUGACCUUACAGGUGUUUAUGGUAAUAUGCUUUCAGGUUGUAGAGGGCCAGACCCUGACCUCCUAUUGGUUUACGGACCUGCAAGAUGCCACCUUGGUUUCCCUGCAUGGAGAAUUCGAUAUACUGAGAUUGUGUGAGUGUUCUUCGACAGAUGUGUGAUGCAGUUAGCUGCAUAUAUUCCUAUAUAUAUGUACUUGAUGUCUAGUGAAACUUAAACCACAAAGCCAUGGUGCAGGGAAAGAUGGAGUAACCAAUCUAACCAUAAAAAUAGGCCAGAACAGGAAAAAAAAAUUGUUAGUUUUGAGCCAGCUGAUUUGUGUAUAAUACAUACAUAUACAUGUGUUUGUGUGUGUAUACAUUUAUCUCCUUUGUCUCGUGCAGAUUUGUUUUUCUGCAGUACAUUUUCUGGGAACUUUUGUGCAACAGAAGCUUCUCCUUGAUGUAUUCUGUUUGUACCGAUUUUGUUUCUGAACUGAUUGUGUCCCAUAUUUUGCUUUACAGACAUAUGGGACAAUUGAAGUCUAUGAGAUAUGGUUCCCUAAUUAAAGCCAUCUACAGGUUCACCACUGUGCGGCAGAACUAUGGUAAGUGAUGUUCCUCUUCAUUUGUCUAAUUGUCAUCUCAUGUGAUAGUUUGAGAAUGAACUAAUGAUUUCAUAAGAUCCCUAACAAGUUUGCAAUGGUGUGCUUAAAACUGUUUAUUGGUUAAAAUUUGAAUUUAUUGUAUUAUUUGUAUAACUUGGUAACCUUUUUCAAUUUAAAAUAGUUGUAUGGUUUUAAUUUUCAUCAUCGAGCCGUACGUAGAAACUGAAGAUUUGUAGAAUUUGGUUUGAAUAUUAUGUAUUGUUCUUGUUCCAACAGGUAAAUGAUAUAGCAAUUGGAAGUUCAUAGCUUGGAUAAAUGAUGGCUUAUACAAAGAGUUCUCAAAGUCCAAGCCUGCUUAUCGUCUUCCGUGUACCCUAAUUAUGUAAACAAUAAUCUUGCUCUUGUACAAGACAUCCAUUAUGUUAUAAGUUAUAACCAGUAAUCUUCACCCAACUGCACGUCUCUUAUUGAUUUUCAAUUAAAUGGCAAGGAUAACCAAAAAAAGCAAAAGUGGGAAUUUAAAUGGCAACAUUUCAUUUUCAUAGACGAAUAAAAGUCAAAACAUGUUAAUCUAAACAUGUUCAUUUUCAACUUACGGUAGUUGGGUGUCGGUGCCAACCACAAAUCUAUAAGAUGAUACGCAUAGCAUUCACGUCAAUUCUCAUUAAUUAUUCAUAGUCAAUUCUCAUUAUUUUUGAAAAUAUUUAAAUAAAGGGGUUUUUAAAAAAAUAGUAAAUUGAAGCUAUAAUCCUCUAAUUAAUUUAGUUCUUGAAUUCUGUGAACCAAGAGGAUAUUUGGACUGAUUGGUAAUUUCAAAUGCAGGGUACCUAGAUUUUGAGAGUUUUUUUGUUUUUUGUUUUUGUUUGGGUGUGUGUGUGUGGACAAACUGGUACUUAUAAAACCAGGGCGCAAACAAAGCACCAAAAACAAACAGGCAAAUAAAACAUCAAAAGUGAACAUAGCUUCUGGAUACAUAUUGGAAAGAAAGAGACGCAAUUUCAAAAAGUCUUAAGUCGUCACAAAUAGGGGUGGGCAUCAAUAUGGCUGAACCGAUGAAACCGGCCGAAUUAAACCAUAAUUAUCGGUUUGGUUUAGUUUUGAUUAAGAAGAAGUCAAAUGGUUUAAAAACUGAACCGGACGUAUAUGGUUUGGUUUGAUUUGGUUUUGAGCUUUUGUAAACCGACCUAAACCAAACUGAACCGUUUAUGUGUACAUUUAUUUGUUUAUAUUUUAUUUUACUUGUGUAGUACUCUAAUUAGUUAAAAACUAUAUAAGAAUAUUUGAAUUGAGCUAUAUUAGUUAGUGAAAUAUAAAGUUUUAUGACAUUUUGAGCUUUAGGAUGGUUUCCUAGAAAAUGAUUUACGUAUGAAGCAAGUUGUGAAUUUGUUGGUUAUAAUUGGGCUAACAAUAUUGAAAAAAUGCAAAAAGAAAGAGAAUUGGGCUUAGGCCCAAAUUGGCAGAACCAAACCGAACCAAACCUUCUUAAAUUGGUUUGGUUUCCUUUAUAACUUUUAUCCAAACCGAACAAAACCAAACCGUCAUAUUGUAAUUGGUUCGGUCGUGGUUUUGAAGUAAAACCGAUCCAAUUCGGACCGUGCCCACCCCUAGUCACAAACCAACCAGCAUCAGUCUAACCAUUUUGUGGCGGUGGGCAUGGUAGGCCAUCCUUGUUUAGAAUGUUUGUCAGAGAGGAUGGGGGUCGGUCAACCCAGACAAAAGAGCGCAUCCUUGAGGAAGAUAGCUUGGGCAAGUGUAUUUGAGAGAUUAUUUGUGUUACUUAUUUAUUUGUUAGUAAUUAAAUUAUAGGUGUAGAUAUAUUAUAGGACAUAGCUUGGUUUUUGUACUUGUUUCAUUAUUUAAUAUUUCCUCAUCAAUAAAAAGCUAUCGCCUUUCUGUAAAAAUAAAUAAAUAGUAAUAAAUAAAAAUUAAGCGCGCUAUAGUUUAGGGAAUCCGUGAAAAGAGUAUUGGUUCAUUAAAUUCAACGGCAAAUGGUGUAAUUUGUUAUUAAAAAUAGGGGCUAGUUAAAUGGUGUGUUUAUUAAUUAGGAAUUGAAUUCCACUUAUGAAGGAUUUCUCUGUUUACUUCACGUCAAGUAAUUAAAAAGUAAGUGGAUCGACACAAAAUUAGAAAUUGAAUUUCUGAUUUUGGAGGAAUUCAAAUCUUGGGUGGGAGAUGAUAUUCUAAUUUACGGAGAACUAACCCAUUAUGAAUUCAUCUUUUUUUACCCAUUAUACUUUAACUCAACAACAAGGACAUUUUAGUAAUGAGUACCAUUCNNNNNNNNNNNNNNNNNNNNNNNNNNNNNNNNNNNNNNNNNNNNNNNNNNNNNNNNNNNNNNNNNNNNNNNNNNNNNNNNNNNNNNNNNNNNNNNNNNNNUACAUGGUUAUCUAUUAACAUGAACGGUAGUUAAACAUCACAAUCUUCUAACCAAAAAAGAAAACCUUACCCUCUUUUUAUUGACGUGGAUGUUCAUCUUAUCUGUCAUAUAAGGUGGUAUGGAAAUGUAGAAUAAAAAUAUAAUAAGUAUAGAGUGCUGCUAAACGAACCCUAAAAUUAACUUAGUACACCCUAUGAUCUAAGUACACCCUAAUAUUUUAAUUAAAAUAUCAAAUUAACUAAGUACACCCUAUAAAACUACCAAAAAUACCCCUGGUACACUCUAAUAUUUGUAGCAUUAUUUUAAAGUUAAUUUUUAGCUUAUUUUUUAAUAGUGUUUAUAAAUCUUUGACUUUUCAUAUGGAUUUGUGCUUCUACUAAAACUGUUGACACUUUUUUUGCAAUCCCAAGUUCUUGCAAUCAUCACCUCUUUCGUUAAAAACACAAUAGGACAAGCAAUCUCUUGAUUAGGGUUGAAUAUGGUUAGUAGGGUGUACUUACUAAAAUUAUAUUUGUUUCACAAUUCCAUAUAUCCUUUUUGGUCAUUUUAUAUUAGGAUAAAUCAGCAAUUCAAUAUAUACUUUUAUAGUAGGGUCUACUCAGUUAAUUUUAGGGUUCGUUUAGCAGCACUCUAAGUAUAACAUUACUAAUAAUUUGAAUUAACCAACUUUUUGAGGAUCGUUUCAAAAUAGUACCAAAUCUUUAAAAUUUUGUACUUAGGUAUUUGAACUCACGAAAAAUAUACAAAUUAGUUAAUCCAUUACUUACAUCAUUCUAUCUAAUUUAUCACGACCCUUAAAAUUUGGGUACUUUUAUGUAGUUCACCCUAAUAAUUUUCAAUAGAGGAUGCGAUUACCUCAACAAAUACAUCAACCAAUGGUAAGGGGGCCCAUAGACCAGGAAUGCCUUUUAUGUGGGGGCCCAACCGAAUCUACAAUCCAUAUCCUCCGUGACUUGCUUGGCGUAGUUGGAUAUCAAGCAACCGCGGGUGGAAUGGGACAAUGACGCUCAUUCACCCAAGGAUUGGGUAUUGGGAUGUGCAUAUUCACUCAGUUAUCAUGACUUGGGAAUGGGAAACACGUAAUGGAUGGCUACAGGAGGUUUAGGCCUGACCAAGUCAGCUUGAGUGCAUCUUUGUGGCUACAGGCUUGUUUGCGGGUUAAUGAUUUCUUAGGGUCUCAUUAAUGGGCAUAGUCAAGCAGAACAAAAGUGGCAGCCACCACCUCAUGUUAAACUCCCAAAAUCAAUGUGGAUGGUGCUUGGAAGCCAGGGACCACAGAGAGGGUGGCGUUGAGGUAGUUGUGAGAGACUCCAACGGCAAAUUUGUGGCGGUUUGUGCGUUUAAAAUGGAUAAUGUAUUAUCAUGGAAAGGAGUUUUUAAAAAGUUAGUCUUCGAAAGUGAUGCUCAAACUAGAGAAGGUUUUAUCCAUAUUCGUUGUAGUGACAAUUCAAAUUUUAUUUUAUUUUUGAUGUAUUGUAUGAGAACUGUAAUUCAUAAUCAAGGAACUGCCCUUUGUCCUUAAUAUGAACUCAAACUUGUUGUACUAGUUGUUUUACAUUAAUAAUAUUUUAUUGCUUAUCAUAAAAAAAAAAAACAAGAGAUAAUGUAUAUAUAUGUAAUUGUUUUCCCAAUAACAUGUGAUGGUUGGGUGUCAAUAUCAAUUAUUGUUAUAGGUCCUUUGUGAGCUAUUAAUGAGAAUCUUCUCAUUAUUGCUUUUGAAACAACAAAAAAAUAUUACAAAGGGUAGGCACAUUAUAAAAUCCUUUCGAAUGAAAAUAUAUAAAAUAUAUUUUCUCCAUUGCAUGGAAAACAUUUAUACUCAAAUAAAAAGAACACUAUUUAAUUAUAUUGUAAAUGGAUUUAUCCGUACGCCGGGGUUGGUGUUCUUUUGGGAUUCAAAUUCUGGUUUCUAUUAGUAGGGCCAAUCCAGGAUUGCAUAUGGAGGACUCACAUGGCAGCCACCUCAUGCUAACACUCUCAAAAUCAAUGUGGAUGGUGCUUGGAAGCCAGGGACCACAGAGAGGGUGGCGUUGUUCUGGUUGCAAGACUCCGGCGGGAAAUUUGUGGCGGGUUGUGGGAUUAAAAUGGAUAAUGCAUUCUCUGCGCUACAAGUUUGUGGCAGGUUAUGGGGUUAAAGUGAAUAAUGUAUUCUCUGCGUCAUAAAUGAAGACUUUGACUGCAAGAACAUGUACAAUAUUGGCGAUGGAAACGGGUUUGAAACUGAUGCCCUCUAGGUUACUUGAUAAGGUAUUACUCAUAUUCGUCGUACUGACAAUUAUGAUUUUAUUUUAUUUCCGAUGUAUUGUAUUUGUAUAAGGAUUGUAAUUCAUGAUUCAGAAACUUUCCUUGACCGUUAAUAUGAAAUCAAAUUUGUUUAUAUGUAAUUUUUUUCCCAAUAACAUGAAUGAUGUUUGGGUGUCAAUAUCAAUUAUUGUUAUAGGUCCCUGUUGAGCUAUUAAUGAGAAUAAAAAAGUCCACUUUUCCAAUAGAGAAAGAGAGUGAUUCCUCUAUGGCUUUUGAAAGAACAAAAAAAAAAAACACAUUAGAAAAUCCUUUCGAAUAAAAAGAUAUAAAAUUUAUUUUCUCCAUUACAUGGAAAACAUUUAUACUAAAAUAAAAAAGAAGAGUAUUUAAAUCCUAGUAGUAAUAAUAAAAAUCCCUAGUAAACACUAGUGGACUGGACUGUAAAUCCUAGUUGACUUGACUUUUGUUUUCGUCACCAUCGCCUUGUUUGGUUUGCUUGGUCUGCUUGAGCACGGCAUUCGCUUUUUUCCACCUGUGAUAUUUUCCAAACAGCACCUCUAUGUCUUCAAGGGUUCUUCCCCUGGUUUCGGGGAGCAGCAUGUAAAAGAAGACCCAACUCAACGCAGCAAUCCCCGCGUAGAGAAAGAAGGACCCACCAAUCGUAAUGGCCUUGUACAGUGAGAGAAAAGUCAUGGAUAUGACGCCACUUGUUAUCCUGUUAACAGCCACUCCCAUACUAACUCCUUGCGCGCGUAGCUUCAGCGGGAAGAUCUCAGAGCUAUAAACCCAUGUUAUGGGCCCCAACCCAAUCGAGAAGAACGCAACGUUCAAUAACACCAUGGUGAUGCACAAUGCGAUGGCCCACGGGACCGUCUCCUUGUGAUUAUCGAUGAUCGUGAGGCCCACCCCGAGGCACGCGAGUGAAAAUAUCAUCCCAGCCACGCUGGACAAAAGCAACUUACGCCGCCCGAACCGAUCAAGGAAAAACGUGGCGACCAAGAUGGCAAUGGUCUUGACAAAUCCAACGCCCACGGUUGCAAGGAGCUUGUGGUCGUAAGAUUUGAUCCCCGCCUUCUGGAAGAUCCUGGGGCUGUACAGGACUACAGAGUCUAUGCCCGAAGCUUGUUCGAAGAAGUGGAUGCCGAGGGCUGCGAUCAAAAUGUGGCGAACGGCUGGCGUUGGGUGCACGAUCAAGUCUUUCCAUACGCCUUCACCAUGGCUUUUCUUCGUGACGGGAACAACGUCGUCGUCUAGCUCUUUGGCGAUGCCUGCGGCUUCUUUGAUGUCGUCUAGCCUCAACUGAGCCUCUUCCUUGGAGGCUGAGGUUUUGUCGAGGACGCGCUUGGCGUCCCCAAGUCGCCCUUGCAUGACGAGCCAACGCGGCGACUCUGGCAUGGCUAAGACGCCGAGGGCGAGAAUAAUGGCUGGAAGGGCGCCGAUGCCGAGCAUGAACCUCCAAGCGAGGUGAGCUGGGAGCUUGGAGAAGGCGUAGUUGGAGACGUACCCCAAUAGUAUGCCAAUAUUGACGAACACCUGUACAUAUGUAUCCAAAUCAAAGAAAUUAGUAUAAAUUCCACACCUAUAAACCACAGAAAGUCAUAAAACACUUGCCAAAAAACCUCAUAAAACACUUGCCAAAAAAACUCGUACAACCCGUUCACCUAAUCUCUUUAAUAAAUCUCACGUUGUCAAAAGUGGUUUCCAACCACAUCCACAUCCACAUCCAAAAGUACAAAAUCAAAAUCAAAAUCAAACAAAGGGUAUAUGGUGGGGAGAACUGGAUAAACAUCAUCACAGGUAUCAAAAGCUUUCACAUGAUGUCUCCAAAAGCGCUUCCCAGAUUGUGUAAUGUGAUGAUAUCACAAGUGACGAAACAAACACUUCCUACUUUUGUUUCACAUGAAACCAGCUUAGUUUUGUUUCGGGCUCAAAAAAAAAAAGAGUAAAUAAACAAAUAAGGAAAGAAAACAAACCUCAGGGAAAGAUGUGAGGAAGCCACGGGACAAAGUCGGAGCGAUCUCGGCGGUGUAGACGGGAGAGAUCAUGAGACCGUAGCCAACACCGAUUCCGGCAACGAACCGGCCGAACAUAAGGAAGCCGUAGCCAGGGGCGACUCCCAUGAGGAUAGCUCCGACGAAGAAGAUGGCUCCGGAGAGGACGACGGUGUACCGGCGCCCGAUCCAAUCGGAGGUUCUGCCGGCCAAGCCGGAGCCGACGAGAGAGUAGAUGUUCAAUGUGCCUGUAAGUAUUUGAAUCUGGACGUCGUUGAUUUUGAGGUCAUCUUGGAUGAAGAGGUUCGCCCCACUCAUCACACCAAUAUCUGUAAACAAAAGUGACCACACUCAGCUCAUACACUCCAAAACCAACAAUUUUUUUCUUGCAGAAUUAAGAUUAAAAAAAGUAAGAGAAAACGAUUUCGAGUGCUAAUAGGAUAAUUACCGUAGCCCAGUAAAAUUGAUGUCAUGCAAGCCAAAAUGGAGCAGGCAAUGGCGAAUUUGUUUCUCUUGGGUUUCUGUGGCGGAUCAAAGUCUGCUAUUACUGUGUUCUUGGGUUGGCCGGAGAUGGCCUUGUCUUCAGCUAUCGGGUCAGCCAUCUCGAUCUAGACAGAGGUAGGGAGAGAGAGAGAGAGAGAGAGAGAGAGAGAGAGAGAGAAGUAUCAGAGAGUGAGCAGCGACAGGUAGAGAGUUAGGGAGGAAUAGAAUAUAAUUCAUUCAAUAUAUAAGCAAUCUCUUCCUUAAAGUAGUAUUAAUUAUUGUAAAGGGAUUUAUCCGUAUGCCAGUGUUGGUGUUCUUUUGGGAUACAAAUACUGGAUUGGAUAUGGACGAUAAGGAUUUAUCCAAAAAUAAAUUCAAAUAAAUGCGGGACUCAAAUGGUAAAACGUUCUCAAGGGGUUAACGUAUCCAAGCGGAUCCUAAGAAGUAAAUAUAUAUUAUCUUUACAUGGUAAGAGUUAUUACCUAACAGAAAUUGUUCUUUUGAGAGAAAUAAUACUGUUCCCUUCUUAGACUUGGAUAUGUAUUACCGUAGGAGGAAUACUAACAACUUUCUCUCUAACCUUCUUAGACUUGGAUAAAUAUUAAUUUUCCUCAUGACAUGUGUCAUUUUCCUUGCACUUAAAAUAAUGUCAUCAAUCAAUAAUCACACAAGCUAAUUUUUAUUUUCCAAAUUAACCCUUAUUAUAUAUAUUACAACAAGCUAGUAUUUUAACAACCUUCUUUUCACCUUAUUAAAAAAUUAAAUAAGAAAAAAAAAUACUGUUUGAUUUUUGUUUUUCCAAAGAAUACAUAUGUCGCUAAUAGAACCUUCAGUCCUUGCAUAAUUUUCUUUCCACUAAAUAAAAAAAUUAAAUAAGAAAAAACGCAGGUUUUUUUUUUUUUUUUUAAUAUAAAAAAGUAUGUUUUUAGUUUUCCAAAGGAUACAGACUUAAUAAUAAAUUUUUAUCCUAGCAUAGCAUGGACUUCUUUUGUAACUUAGAAAAAAAAAUUAUCACUGAAUAAAAGAAAAACACAUUUUUAUAAAUAAAAAAAAGAAGACCUUUUUUCUUUUAAAUUUAUAUUUAAAAAGAUGGUAAGAAAGUUGUAAAAAAAAAAAAAACUCAAUACAUUUAAUAAGGAUAAACUUGGAAAACAAAAUUUUGCUUGUGUAAUGCAUUUAUGACAUUAUUUUAAGUGUAUGAAAAGUGACACAUGUCAUGAGUAAAAGGAAAAAGGUCCAAAGGAGAAGGUUAGAGAGAAAGUUACUAGCCCAUUUUGGGUUUAUCUUAUAGAUUGAUAUUGAGAUAUUUGAGAUGCAAAAACUUGCAUUGGACAUGGAGAUGAUUAUUGAGAAAAUCUCGAAUUUUGGGUAUGUGGUAUGGUGGUAAUGUAUUGGCAUUAAUCUUUUAAGGGGUUGUUUGGUAUGACAGACUAUCAUGGAUUGAUUAAAUCCUCGGACUCUCUUGGAUUAGCUCGGAUUGGCCUAAGUAGGAUUAAGUACUGACAUACCUUUGGUAUUGCGUCGGACUAAGAAGCUAGAUUGUAAAAAUAGUGAAGAUCUAUAUUUGGUGUUGUGUUGGACUAAAAAAUAAGUAUUUUAAUAUUUAAUUUUAAUUAAGAAUUUUGACCUAAAAAUAAAUAAAAAGAAAACAAAUAAAAUUCUAAUAUUUAAUUUUAAUUAAAAUUUUGACAUAAAAAAAAUAAAAUAAAGAAAAUUCUAAUAUUUUUUAAAGGCUAAAACUUAUCUCUUUUUCUUUAUUCCUCUUCACUUCUUUGUCUUUUCUUCUUCCUUUCCUUCCCUAGCCCGCUUCUUUUUUUAUUUUAUUUAUUUUUUCCUUUUUUCUUCUGCCUUUCCUGUUUUAUUUUUUCUUUCCUUUCUCUUUUCUUCUUCCUUACUUCCUUUUCACUCUAUCUUCAUGCCGCACUAUUUAAGAUUUCGUCUGGAAUUUUUUUUGCAGCCACCACAUACCCAUAAGUGGAUUUGGCUCUCUUUAAAGUUGGGGUGCGGAGGCCACGAGCCCCCCAGGAUGAGGAUGAUUUCUCACUCGACCAGAUUGGGGGCAGAUCCAAUCGAACCAUCAACCCAGAAGCGUGUGGUGGCUAGUUAUGAGUUUGAUGAUGGUGGUCAGACGGUCAUGGACUCGUGGUGGUGGUGGUCGGGCUCGCAUGUUUCACAGUGGUGGUGGUAUCCACAGGACUUGUGUGUUCAAAAUAGCACCCUUGCUAUUUUGCGAACUACGUUUCGAGCUCGCUGUAUUAGACAAGCGAGUCCAAUAUUUUUUUUCCCCCAUUUGGACUAUACAAUCCCAUUUAAACUAAUCAUCUCCCUUAACAAACAUGGAUUUCAAGUACUAUUUAACCCAAUCAUAUCCAGUGAAGCAUAGUAAGGCAUGCCAAACAUGGCUUAAGUUUGUAUUGUUUCUAGACUCUAUUUAGUGAAGGUAUGGAAAUCUACACGAUUUCAAGUUGAGUGAUACUAAACGAACCCUAAAAUUAACUUAGUACACCAUACUAUCAAACUAUUUAUUGAAUUACUAAUUUACCCUAAUAUAAAAUGACCAAAAAGGAUAUAUUGAAUUGUGAAGCAAAUGUAAUUUUAAUAAGUCACCUUACUCACCAUAUUCAACCCUAAUAUUCAAUGGAGGCAACAUUGAACGCUAUGAAUCCAACACAAACCCACCACCACCGUCCCUCCCUUUCUCUUUCUCUCUCUCUCUCUCUCUCUCUCUCUCUCUCUCUCUCUCUCUCUCUCUCUAUCAAAAAAUAUUACUCCCCCCAACAUCCAACCACACAAAAAAAUAUAUACAUAUAGAUAUGCAGAUAACACACACACCCACGCAGGCACGCGCGCGCAGAGAGNNNNNNNNNNNNNNNNNNNNNNNNNNNNNNNNNNNNNNNNNNNNNNNNNNNNNNNNNNNNNNNNNNNNNNNNNNNNNNNNNNNNNNNNNNNNNNNNNNNNUGGUGGGUUUCAAGGUGGGCAUUAUUCCCAAACGGGCUUUUAAACUUGCCCACCUAGGAACUCUAGCUCUUCACCCUCUGAUGAAUGUAAUGACAAUUAUGUUUGCUGUUUGCACCUUGGGGGUUGGAUUGGCAACCCUUAACAGUUUAAGAAACAAACCCACUUUGGAAUUUUCUUUCUUCCACUAGUUGAAGGGAGAUGGGUUGUGUUAAUUAGAGAGAGAGAGAGAGAGAGAGAGAGAGAGGCGGUGGUGGUAGGGGUGGGUUGGAUGCGAGAGGGCUUAAGUCGGAGGAGGAAGGACGAGGUUGGCUGGGUGGGGGUGGGGGGGGGGGAGGAGAGGGGAUGAUGGGAUGUCGAUUUAACAGGGUUAAGUGUUGUUAAGUGGUUUGCCACAUGUCAAAAAAAUAGAAGGGAAACAUGUCGGGCACAUGGCAUUUGGUAACAGUAAAAUUGGGCUCAUGAAUGGGUUAGGUGUUGUGUGAUAAAGUGUAUUAGGGUGUACCAUGGAUAUUUUUGGUAGUUAAUACGAUGUACUGAGUUAACUUUAUAAUUUGAUUUAAAUAUUAGGGUGUACUUAGAUCAUAGGGUGUACUCAAUUAAUUUUAGGGUUUGUUUAGCAACACUAUUUCAAGUUAUGUAUGCAUGUGAUGUGAAAAAAUAAAAGAAGAUAUGUGUGAAUAUGGGAUUCUCUUGAUUCGAGGCCUUUGUUUUAUUUUUUAUUUUUUUGAUUACAAGGAGGGCCGAAGCCCAAGAAAAACCAGGAAAAAAUAAAAAAACAUUGUUACAAGCGUAGCAGUGGUCAUCCUAAGCCUAACAGAAUAAUUUGCCAAGAGGCUUGCAAUAGAAGGAGGGGAAAAUGUUAUAGGAUGAUAUAAGGCUUAAAUGUUUAAACGUUCAACUAAGUAAAUGCAUUCAGGGGAGAACUUUUCCAUCUGGAACUAUGAUAUAGGGCUUUUGUCACUCAAACCAAAGUAUCCGUACUACAACGAAUAAAACAAAGAAAUGCACGAUAAAUUGUACCCCAAAAAGCCCAUGAUAAAUGACAAACCAACCCCACAUCUCCGUAAAACAAAGCCCCCCACACCUCCGACAAAGCACAAUGCCCACCCAAACUCUCAUCUUAAGUGGAGUAGGUUCCAAUCAUUUUCAUGGGCUCCACAUCCUACAGGUUCUGUGGAUUUAGUGACAAUUUGUGUCACGGGCUUGCACCUUCUAAUUAGAGUGAGCAUCUUCGAUGGAGUAGGCAAACCUUAUUUGUUUAGACAAAAAUGUAUUUUUAUUUAGUAUCAUAAUGUGAUGACUUAGUCAUAAUUAAAUAUCGAACUUAUUAUAAAUAUCAUUCUUGCAUUGUCGGAUGUUGGGAUUUCUCCGCCUUGAAUUAAUAUCCUUUAGAUUAUAGAAGUUAAACUCUCUCAAAACCCGCAGCAAUUGAAUCAAGACACGUAUCCAUUAUUUAAGUUUAAAAGACAUGUAUCGUCAUGCAAGAAGAAUUGUAUGUAUUGACUAGGAGAACUGAGCUACUAGCUAAGUUCAAAAGGCAUCGAUCGCCACAAGAAGAGUUGAAUUUUUGGGUCCAAGGAUAUAUUGAAUUACUAUGGGCCAGUUUGGUAUUCAAUUUGAAUACAACUUUUUAAAUUCAAAAAUAGAAUUUGAAUCCAACAGACACUUAGUAAACUUAUAAAAUUAAAAUAAAAUAAAAUAAAAUCUGUUUUUUAAGUUUUUUUUUUUCCUAACAACGCAUAAGUUCUCAAAUUUGUAAGAUUUGAAAACAGUUUUCAAGUUGCAUACCAAACAAGUUUUGAAUCUUAAAAAUAAAUUUAAGAACUCCUUGUUUUUAAGAAAAGUCAAAGUUUUUAAGUUCUCUAUUUGAAUAGGAUACCAAAUGCCCCCUAAUAUAUUUGACUCAUUUGUGUCAAUAAUUUGAAAAGGCUAGCGUAGGAGAGAGAAAGGCUAUAAAGGAAAAUCUUAUAUGAAAGGGAAAUUCACUAUUAUAGCCAAUAUAGGAGCCCAAAUAUAAAAAAAUCUUAUAUGAAAUGGACUUUAGAAACACAUCCAAAACUCAUUUACAGCAUAACAAAAAGGCUUUUAACUUAUUUUGAUUACAAAACUGCCAUUGAUUUCUUAAACAACCCAACUCUAAACUCGUAAAAAUCCAAUACUCAUAGGCAUCAAGUAUGUAUUUAAUAAUCAAAAUUAAAUUCAAUAGGGUUAGCUGUCAUUUUUCGGGUUUUUUUUAUAUAGAAAUUAAAUGAUAUAAAAUUUAUCUAUAUUAUUAAUGCUAAGAAUAAGCAUAUGACUAAAUAUCUCAAGAAAAAAAUGGCAGAGAAGUUGGAAAUUGGAUAGAUCAUUAUUGGCUAUGAUGCCUGUAAACGUGCAACUUUGAUUAGUCUUCCUUUUGUUUUUAUUGUUCUUUGCCCUAUAGUCAUCAACGUUGAUUUUGUUUUGGUCAACCAUCAUGCUUUGAUUAAUUUGUCGAAUCAUAAACUAGAUUCCCAGUUUAAUCAAGAAAAUUACUAUUCGACCUUUUCUUUUUGUUUUUAGUUGAUUCAAAAAUGGAGACUUAUAAACUAAAUCAACAUUUUCUUGAAUAACAUGCUUAGAGAAUCCUCUUCAUCAUUCUUGUAAUUAGGAAAUCAAAUUAAUUAUAUAUUUAAGUAGACGAUUUGCUUAGAUUCACUUCUUUUGUUUUGUUUUUGUUUUUUGAGAGAAAAGCCAUAAUUGUAUUCAUCAAUUAGCUAGGCACAAAGAUCAUAAGUCACAAGGGCAAAUACAAAUGCCCACAAAGGGAUAAUACGAAUAUGGAAACAUAGUAACCACAUCAGGUUAAUCCAGAUACAUGCCACAAAAGGCCAGAGAAGGCAUAAAAGCCACAUGCCUGAAUAAACAAGACAUGAAUCACAACACUCAAAUCUACCAAUACAAUUAUAACUUUGGCUUAAUAUCACCAAAUGUCCCUAAGGUUUACGAAACUAUCAGAUUACAUCCUUAAUAAUUUUUUUGGUAAUUCGUGGUCCUCAAGAUUAGUAUGUAUGCUCACCAAUGGUCCCUGCUGUUAGGUUCCGUCAAAAACUCCGUUAGUUUGCUGAUGUGACAUAUAUGUUUAUAACAAAACAUCCCUAAAGUUCACGCACCUAUCACAAAUGGUCCUUGCGAAAUUAUUAAAUUAUUUUUUUAAAAAGAAAACCAAAAUUUUAUGAAUUUUAAAGGAAAAAAUUUCGCUGGGACCAUUUGUGAUAGGUGUGUGAACCUCAGGGAUGUUCUGUGAUAUAUAUAUAUAUAUAUAUAUACCAUGUCAGCAAACUAAUGACAGAGACCAUUUGUGAGGAGCACACAUACUAACCUUGAGGACCACGAAUGACAAAAAAAAAAAAAAAAAAAAUUAAAGAUGCAAUAUGAUAGUUUCGUAAACCUUAGGGACGUUUUGUGAUAUUAAACCUUAUAACUUUUAACUCUCACAAGUACAAAAUACAAGUAGAGACUAGAAAAUUAUCCAAAACCCAACUCACAAAAUAGAUGCAAUUAUUACAAAAUAAGAAAAUUGAAACAAACAACCAAAAACCAACAAAACCAAUACCACGUGCACCGUUAUUGCCACCGUCAUCACAGACGCCGUCGCUGCUUAGAUUCACUUCUUAAUGUUCAUAUGUACUAGAGUCAUAAAUUAAUAUCUCACUCAUGUAUUCUUGUAUUAAUUAAUAAUCAAAACUUGAGAGAAUAGUUGGUGUCUCUCUAGUAUUAUUGCAAGCUCGGUACUAGACAACUCUCUUAUAUUGUCUUGAUUGAAAUCAACACUAUGCAGUAAAAAAAAUUCAUCAGCAUUGUGAAUGAUGUUGUAGCAAGUACUUCUAUAAACGUUUAUGUUAAAAGUGUUGUAAAAUAACUGGGAUAUGUGCGAAUAUUGAGUUGCACGUAAAGUAGAUGAGACACAGUAUUUAACGAAGUUCGGCUAUGCCUACGUCCCCGGAGAGCAGCAGUAGUAACUUUUCCACUAUGUAAAAUAAUAGGGCUACAACUUUAGUGUUUACAAUAAGUAUGGCUCACUCAAUUUUCUCUCUUGGAGAAUUUCUCUCUUGCUCUCUUUCCUCUCAACUCACUCACCCUCUUUCUUCCUUCUCUUCCUUUCUUUCUUUCCUCACUCAUUCUUUUCUUCAUUUUUGGUGUGUCUUACAAGUGAAUGAGCAAGCCUAUUUAUAGGCAAAGUAAAAGGCUUCUAAUGGAGACAUAAUGAUUUCUCCCCAACAUUAUAAUUUCAUCUUUUGACUAAUCAUCCCACUUCUAACACCAUCAUUUCUUCUUUUGACUACCAUACUCAACACCAUCAUUUUUCUUCCAUCAUUUCUCUUUAUGUGGGCUUCACCAAUAUUAUUUACAACAAAAAGCACAUUUUUUUUAAAUAUUAAAAAUCCAAACACAUGGUAGGUACUUCUUCGAAUGUACCAAAAACUACUUUUAAAGCAUUUCCAGACAAACUUUAAAUGUGUUUCAUUUGGCUCCAUACAUUGUUCUUCCUCGUGGAGCCCUUUAAUGAAUAUAAUCAUCAUGUCAGCCGAGAAUAUAAUUAGGUUAAACGAAUGACAAUUUAAUUUGCUAAAUUCUGAUUCCAAUAGAUAAGGAAUCUUAUUUGAUUUAACCCGUGUAAUAAGUUCCUUUUCUUUUGCCUUUCCAUAUUCCUCACGAAUAAUAUAAAGAAAUGAUUGAUUUGAUUUUUAUCAGAAAGAAUCAACAUAGCCAACAUAGUCAUAAACAAUAAAGCGAGAGUCAAUAAUUUGUUUGUAAAAUGAUGUGACAAUAUAUCACCUAAUGGGAAUAAGUGAGUCAAAAAGUGAAUGACGUAAAUAAUUGGGUGAAUAAAUAUGGUGUCCAAAUGGUUAAAAAGAAAAACAAAAUGUUGUCCUUGUAGUGCUCUAAAACAGAUUGUGGAAGAUGAGGUAAACGAACAUCAGUCCUUUCUUCUUUUUAAAUUUCUUUGCACAAAUUUGAGCACCGAACAGGCAAAAUUCCAUGGUAAUGACAAAACAAAUAUGGUUGCUUCUGGCAAGGGAAAGGAACAAUUAAACAAAGCAUAUACCUUCCUGAUCAAUCUUUCUGCUCUCCACACAUCUGCAGCUACGUGCCAUCCAUGCAUCCAAAAUUCCAUUUCACAAAUUGGCGAGAAAAUCAUUUAGAACACACACGUUUGUGAAACAUUUGACUCUCUCUCUCUCUCUCUCUCUCUCUCUCUCUCUCUCUCUCUCUCUCUCUUUCUAACUUGUCAAUUUUCAACAUAAUUCAUCAUUGCUAGAAAUAAUCUUAGUACAUAUAGAAUCAAGCAGAACUCAGAUGUUUCAUAAUAUGAAAACUUCAACAAAUUUAUAGAGCUGCUUUGAUCUCUUAGAAUUGCCAGAAUAGCUCUCAGAUGAUUCAUAAUCAAGCAGAACAUGUAUUGAAGUACAGCCCCAAAUCAGCAAUCGUCAAUCCAGUCACUUCCAGCCCCGUCCAGACUGAAGAGUUCUCAAUUCUGCCUAUUCAGCAAGCCUCUGAAUGGCUAAAAUAGAUUAAAGCUCUGCCAAUCUCAACAUUUGUAUCGAUUUCCCGCUGAACCUCAUCAGUUGAAGGUGCUGACAUUUGAAUCCAGCACAGAUAUAUCCAGUCCAGCCAUAAUCACUGACAACAAUCCAAGAAGAAAUCGAAGCCCAAUGUUCUGAUGUCCUUUCAGACAUAACAGUUCCCUUUUGUUUUGAAUUGUGCAAUAGGCAGUUCUCUUUAAAACAGUUUGAUUUAUUUUCAAUAUUCAUUUUGGCAAGAACUACUAGUUUUUACUAUGAGAAAUUGUGAAGUUCUCACCAGUCUAAGGCAAAAAAAGAACUUACUUGUGAGAUAUUCCUCACCCAAAUUCACAAUCACUUGUUUAAAGUCAGUAACUUGGGGCGCAAGUUAUCUAUUUUUCACAAGUCUGUUAGGGUCUUGACUGCUAACAAUGGCAUGCUCGCACACCAAAGAAAGUUGACUUGUUGACCACAAAGAAUUUUCGAGCAAAUGAGAAAUUUUACCCUACCAUCACAAGAACUAAAUCAAAGCGGCUGAACAAAUACCCUUCAACUUUCUCUCAAACUCUAUCCCUUUUUAAUCAAUUGUUUUUGGGCAUGUUAGCAUUUUUGCUCUCCUAUUUAAGUUACUAUCCUAACCUUUUAUUUCAAUUGUUAUUUGUUAAUUAUUUAAUUUUAUUUAAUCUUUCAAAUGUCACAAAGAAACUUGGGGCAUUUGCAUUUCCAUCCUUUGAUCAAAUGAGUUUUCUGACUAACCCUAGGUGUUAGAUUAGCUUUCCGUGGAUUAUGUACAUUAUUAUUAUUAUCCACAUACAUACAAUGUGCCUACAAUCAACCUAAGAAUUUGCCUGUGAUGCAUGUAACUGCAUCCGAGCCCACUUUGCAUUGCUUCACCUUCCAUCACCGUAGAAUAGUUGAUCACUCCGUCAUUUGUGUCACAAUCAUUUGAAGAAGUCAAAACCAACACAAUCAAUAUAAGUUUACGACCGCGAAAUGAAAUGCCUUGCAAUGCACACAUUCGAAUGGAAGUGAUUGUUCUUGAUUUCUCGACCUAAUCGUCAUGUCAGCAAAGAAUAUAGUUAGACUAAACGAAUUGACAAUUUAAUUUUCUAAAUUUCGAUUCCAAUAGAUGAGAAAUCCUUGAUUGAACCUGUAUAAUAAGUUCCUUUUCUUUUAUCUUUCCAUAUUCCUCACGAAUAAUAUUAAAAAAUGAUUAAUUUGAUUUUUAUCAGAAAGAAUCAACAUAGUAAUAUAGCCAUAAACUAUAAAGCUAGAGUCAAUAAUUUAUUUGUCAAACGGUAUCACUUAAUGGGAAUAAGUGAGUCAAAAAGUGAGCCAAAUGGAUAAAAAGAAAAACAAAAUGUUGUCCUUGUAGUGCUCUAAAACAGAAUGUGGAAGAUGAGGUAAACGAACAUCAGUCCUUUCUUCUUUUUAAAUUUCUUUGCACAAAUUUGAGCACCGAACAGGUAAAAUUCCAUGGAAACCAUAAUGACAAAACAUAUAUGGUUGCGUCCGGCAAGUAAAUGGACAAUUGAACAAAGCAUACCUUCCUGAUCAAUCUUUCUGCUCUCCACACAUCUGCAGCUACGUGCCACCCAUGCAUCCAAAAUUCCAUUUCACAAAUUGGAGAGAAAAUCAUUUAGAACACAAACGUUUGGGAAACAUUUGAUUCUCUCUCUCUCUCUCUCUCUCUCUCUCUCUCUCUCUCUCUCUCUCUCUCCCACUAACUUGUCAAUUUUCAAAAAAAUUCAUCAUUGCUAGAAAUAAUCUUAGUACAGAUAGGGAUACGACAACAGCUAGCUGCAUGUGAAUCACACAUGAACUAGGGUUUUAUGUGGCUCAGAUCUUGACAGCAUACAAGUUUCCCGCGUUUUACAUAUAUGCUUUCUUGGUCCACCAUGAUCCUUAUUUUAUUUUCAAUUCAUUACCCAAUUAAUAAUACUUUUCAACUUAUUGUGAUUCUCAUAAUCUGCAUUAUUCUUAAUAAAUUAUUUUGUUUUCUGAUUAUUAUACAGUAUUACCCGAGUCAACUAAAAAGCUGAAACGAUCUGGAGAGAAUUAUUUUCGAAAAUAACUUUUCUAUAAUAAUUUUUCCGAAUCUAGUCCAAUAAUAUUAAGAACAAAAACUAGUUGCUAAUUGGCAUAACUCUCCUAGAGAGAUUAAGAAUAUCUAGCAAACUCAACUAAGUUUCUGGAAUCAUAAGAGAAAAGAAGAAAAAGAAAAAAAAAAAAGAAAAGAAGAAGAAAACUCAUAGAGUUUAUGUGCUAACAAAAUUAAUCAAAAUAAAAAACUAAAACAACGCCAAUAAAAGGAAAAUCAACUGCUACUAAUCUUCCUUCGAGACAUGACAUAGACAACACCACUUAGUUACUUUAGGGCCUCAACGCAAUAAUGAGCAGUGGAUCUACCAUGACCAAGCCGCAACACCUCAAAUAGCAGCCUCGCAAAAUAAGGCAUAGCCAAAAUCUAGAUAUGAAAUAAUAGAUCUGCUAAAGAAAAAGUAGAUUGACAUAAGUUCACCAAGAGCCGAAGAACACCGAAAAUCCAAAGAGAUCAGAAAAUCAGAAAAUCUCUCUCUUUUAGCGGCUAGGGUUUCUCUUCACACUAUGAUAUUAAUAAAUAUUGGUAUUGGUGAGAUUCUAUAUAUAUAUAUAUAUAUAUAUAUACACACAUCUGUAAAAUCCUAUUAUUAAUAUGAACGAUCCAUUUAAUUCUUCAAGGGAGAUUCCAUAUUGACCCGCAAGAUUUGCAUAGCAGGUUGAAUCUGUUGAAUUAAUGGGUCACAACAAAACCAACCAAUAAACUAGUUUAUCUAAGACAAAGAUGGAUCACCACCAGAAAUCAUUAGAAAACUAUCAAUGUUAAACAAGUAUUUGAUUCAACGAAGCAGGUCACCAUGACUCAGCCCGUGCUCUCCUACCAUUUUCAACUGGAUCCAACUUUCAAUUUUGUCGAAUAUUGAAUAGUCCUUUCACAAUUCAAAGAUCUAAUUGGGGCAUUGGUGUUAACUCAGCCUCCUCUCUUUUCUUGCUCCAUUCCCAAGAAGGGGAGGGAAACUAAAAAGGGCAUCAACAACACGACACCACUACCCAAACUAAAAAUGUUAAUGGUUUUCAGUAGCAUCAUACUGAAGUUUGCAAAUAAAAAAAUAAAAUAAAAAAAAUAAGGGCAGAACCCCACUUUAUCAUUUCAAAAUUCAAAUGUCAAUAUUCAUCAAAGUGUUGUAAAGAAGAAUAAGUAAAGAAGAAUAGGUGAAGCCCACAUAGCCAACUAACACCCACCAAACCUAACCACACACCCACCAAACCAAACCACUACCCAAUUGAUUGAAGAAUAUUAAUGAUGUUGUUGAUUGAAGAAUAUUAAUGAUGUUGUUGAUUGAAGAAUAUUAAUGAUGUUGUCUACCAAUUAUAUUGUGAGGUGAACAACCAAUGUCUUAGGCCUAUAAAUAGAUACCUCUAUCAAGAGAAGUUUACACAUAUAGAAGAGGAAGAGAAGGAAGAAUAAGGGUGAGUGAGUUGAGAGGAAAGAGAGCAAGAGAGAAAUUCUCCAAGAGAGAAAAUUGAGUGAGCCAUACAUAUUGUAAACACAAAGUUGUAGCCCUAUUAUUUUACAUAGUGGAAAAGUUACUGCUGCUGCUCUUCGGGGAUGUAGGCAUAGCCGAACCUCGUUAAAUACUGUGUCUCAUCUACUUUACGUGCAGCUCAAUAUUCGCACAUAUACCAGUUCAUUUUAUAACACAAAGAUGGUAUUUCGCUUGAAUAUAGAUGGACUUUAUGGGUUGGGUUAGUGGCUUGCUACUUUGAUUUUUGUAUUUUGUUCAGUGAAUUUAAUUAAAAUAAUUUGGUGUGAGAAUUUAUAAGCUAAAAGUUUUGAGGUUUAUCUAUCUUCGAUCUCAUGAUCAGGGACAGACUCAGGGUUUGAAAAUAGAAUAGGCUAAAUUUAUCUUACAUACAAACCUAAAACACUUGACGGAACUAGUGAAUUUCAUUGAAGUAUGAAUUUUAAGGUCAAUUAGCAAUUACACAAUAAACUUCUCCAUGAAAGGAACAUAAUUGAAAAUAUUUAUUAUCCAUUACAAAAGAAGAAGAAAAAAAAAACUGAACCAUUUUAAUCCAUCAAAGCCAACUUGGAAAGUAAAAAUGAGAAGAAGCAGCCAAAAUUUAUAAGAAAAAAAUGAAUUGACGUUUUAUGUACACUAUAAAAGGUAAAAAAAAAAAAAAUUUGGACAGAAAAUGUAAAGGAUGUUCUCUCGGAAUGUGUGUUUUCUGAAAAAGGCUGAGUAAUAAAUAUUAAUUAACUAAAGAAAAAAGAAGAAGAGAUUUUCUAUGGGUGGGAUCACUGGGAUGAGGUGUAUGGAGGUGUGCUUUGAUGGCUUAGUGUAUUGGACUAUAAAAUAUCAAGUCGCCCAAGUGGAUGUAGGACCAUCCCUGCUCAUGAUUCGAGCCUUUUUUAGGUUGAUGUAGCGUGGUUAGAGUAUCCACAGUGUUGGGGGGGAUGUAUUUUCGGGGGUGUAAAACUACUUUUACAUCCCCUUUACACCUCUGGGGGUUGUAAAUAUGGUUUUUGCUCUAAUGAGGAAGAUGUAAAUCUAAAGAUGUAUAAUUGAAUUUUUUUUUUUUUUGGUCUUAAUUCGUUUUUGUGUUAAAAUUUUAUUUUGUGUUAACUUUAUACAUAAUUUUGUGUGUAUUAGGUUUAUUUUAUUUUUUUCAAAUAAAUAGACCUAAAAAUAUUUAAAUUUGGAGAAGAUAUGAUUUCAUCCAUAGAAAAAUUAUCAGAAGAACAAGCUACUAAAUAUAUAUAUAUUACCUAUUGAUUAAUUGAUUAAUUAUGAGUUUCACUGUAGAAGCGUAAUCAGCAACAAUGAAUUAUUUUAUUUUAUGUGGUUACAAAUUAAGUAUGAAGUUUUGUCUAGCAACUACUCUAGCCACGCGUCUUGGGCAAGUAUCUUUAUAUUCUGCCUUUUUGCUCACUUUUGUCUAUCUUUUUUCAUAUUUUUUCAUGUAGGCCCCAUCUGUAAGGGAUGUAAAAAAGGAUGCACAUGUGCAUAUAAAUUUGUAUCUCACGGAUGUUAUGCAUUUUUACAAUCAUUUACACCUGCCCAUUACAGGUGAUUUCGAUCAUAAAUGGUAUAUAUUUAACAUAUACCUCAUUAUACAACCCCUCACUAGAGAUGCUCUUAAUAAUUGUAUUAAGAAAGAUGAGUGUCUAAUAAAACUCACCACGUACUUAUCAAGAUAGGUGGAAGACCAUCCUAAAUAGGGGCAUGAAGAAGAUCUUCUCCAGUUUUCUUAAUUAUGAACAAAACUUUCUUAAAAGGGCGAGAAAAUAAAGAAGUGAACCAAGUGGAAAUGCAUGCAUGUACUGUUUACAAGGUGGCCAAAAAAAAGGAUAGACUAAGGUGGGCGGUUGGAUAAGCACUGGGCAGGCAAUUUAUGUUCAUAGUGGUCAAUGUGGAUAACUGGCUAACUGAUAAGUGUUUACUACUGUUAAUUGUCUCGAAUGGAGGAGAAAGAGAGGAGGGCCUUUUGGAUUGUGUAUUUGGACAAUUUCAAAAAGGGGUUAACGACCAAUAUUAUGACUUCAGAUUUUGCCUCUAUUACUUUACUUGUUCAUACAACACAUGUGCGGCGCCUAAUAUUAUGACUUCUGAUUUUGCCUCAUCUAAAUCUUGGGGCCAAUAUUCUCUAAGAUGACUCACGAGCUCUUUUUUUUUUCUUUGUUCUUUUAAGUAUUGGAGGACUACGUGUGAUUCAAAUUUGGGUCCUCUAAAUUUUAUGAUAAGCUCAUUUCUCAUGAUACAUCUAAUAAAGGACUAACUAACUAUAUAUAUAGUAACAGGUUUAGGAGUGAUUUUGGAAUGCCCUUUAUUUUAAUAAAAAACGCUUUUGAUAACGUUUGAUAGAAAUAUUUAAAAGUACCUAUAGGUCAUAGCACCUACUUCACAUAGCAGAUGUUGCUCUAGAAAGUACUUGGAUUUCUUAUAAAUUUUUUAAAAUAAAAGUGAAUAUGAGUAGAAGUGCUUCUUAAAAUAACAGUUUCAAACUGAUCCUAAAACAUGUUGUCAAAGAAUGAAGAGCCUUGCCAUUCAUGCUAAAAAAUUUACUCACUAUACUCGACGAAGAUGUAUGAGAUGAGGACAACAAUGAUAAUUUUAUUUUUGACAUUUUUGAAAUUUUUUUAAUACUACUUGUGAAGUUUUCAGAAACAUCAAUGAAAGGGUCAAAAUUGAAAAGCUGGGAAAAUUUUCAGAUGCUAUGCUAGGGUGUAGUGAUCAAAUUUGUCCAGCUCAAGACUGGAACGACAGCAAACUUAUCCCAUACAUAUAAAUACAGUUCAGCCCAAUCUCGUCAAGGCCAUUAUCAACCUUAUGGGCUUCAACUAAAACUACCCAUUAGGAUUUUGAUCAGAGCAAAAGUCCAAGAACAAAUAUGUCUCCGUGAAGUCUUACUGAGGGCAGGAUUCAGAAGCUGUACAUGUAAACAAGACGACGACAAUGGAGAAGAGAGCACGGAGGCAAUUGGAUUGUAUUUCUCGUCACCUUGUAUUACCACCUCAAGCUAAUCAUGGUCUGCAGCAGGUGAGAUUGAUUCAUCCACAAUCUUUUUCCAUUUUUCUUCUUUUAUUUUUUGUUGGGUUAUCUUUUGCACUAUGCACUGAGAAGCUUGGUGGAAAAGGAAAAGAUGUUGUAUUUGAUGAAGUUUGAGUUUUUAACUACUGCAAGGUGCUGUUAUUAAGUAAUGGGCAAGUGAAGAGUGAGGAGGCAGAGCCUGUGGUGCUGUUAUUACUGCUUUCCAGCCUCCACAACCACAAGUGCCAUGCUUGAGCAUCGUGUUGGCUUGUCUCCACCUAUGGUAUUUACCGAAAAAAGAGCUCCAUUUCUUCUAGGGUUUUGCCCUGUGUUUCGGGGAGCAUUGUAUAGAAAAAGACUCAACUCGAUGCUCCAAUUCCCGCUUAACGAAAGAAGGCCCCACCAAUCGUGAUGACAAACAUACAACAGUCGUAUUGUACAUGUACGUAUGUAUUUUUAAUAUUUUAUACACGUAAUUUUUUCAAAAUUUUCAGUAAGACACACAAAAUUUCCGUAUUAUACAAAUAAUUCUCACAUAUUAUUGAAUAAGAAUAAUUUAUGUUAUAAAAAUUAUAUUAAAAUAUCAUAUAGUGAAAGAUUAAUAUCUACUUUGGAUAUGUUGAAACUAGCAAAUUAAUAUUUAUAAGGUACAAACUAAUGCAUCUAGGAGGGUCCUUUUUUAUUGUUUAUUUAUUUUUAUUAAAUAGUAUAGGCGGCGGCUACAUUGUUUUUGACACGUGGUGCCUAAUAGAUAGAGGGUCUUCUUUUUUUUAAAAUAAAAAAUUUGGUAUAAGUCCAAAAUCGAAAAUAGAAUUUGGAUGUCAUCCUCGUAGUUAUUGUUGUUGAUACAAGUCAUUUGACUUUUGUGCCACGUAUGAUUACAUUCUUUUUUUAUUUUUUGAUAUUUACAAAUUAUUUUUUUCAUUUUAAAGUUACUUAAUUAUUCCCAUCAUGCCCCUAAAAAUUAAAUAAGGUAAUUAACUUUUAUGAUAAUAAUUAUGAUAUUGUCUCCCCUAAACCAAUUCGGACUCUCUCACAGCCACAAUCUUUGCAACUUUCACCAACAAGUCAGUGGAGCCAAAUUCUUUUCCCAUUUAGCCCUCCAACUUCUCCAAGAAGUCAGCUAUCGUGAGUUUCAUUCGAAAUCAAAAUCCUUGUUUGAUUGAUUUUCUAAUUGGGUAUUUAUCAAGUUGCUUAUAAUUUGCAAGGUGAGGUAUGCAAAGCGAUAAGGUUGGAUAUUAGGUCUUUGUGGUUGUAAUUCUUUUGGGUUGAAUGGCUUACAAGCAGGGGCUUCUAUUCGAUUGGCAAAAGGUGAUAAGGUUGAGUGGGAUGUUUGAAAAGGCUUACACCAGAUACUAAAAUUCCAUGUAUGUUGGUUGUUUGUGAUCUGUCUUUAAUUACCUAGUAUUAAGGUAUAUUAUCUUAUAUUUACCUAGUAAGUAGGUACAUUAUCUUAUACCUAUCUAAUAAUUAGGUAUAUUAUCUUAUAUUUACCUAGUAAUGAGGUACAUUAUCUUAUAUUUACCUAAUGUUUAGGUAUAUUAUCUUAUAUUUACCUAGUAAUUAGGGAUAUCUUAUAUUUACCUAGUAAUGAGGUAAAUAUUUGUUGGGAAGACAUCAUCAAUAAUACUCCUACUUUCAUUGUUUUAUAUGAACUUUUUUUUAUUUGUUCAUAUGCUUGAAUCCUCACAAAUCAACCUUAUGGAUAGGUACAAUUUCAUGUUGGUGCUUGCCUAUGGGUCUUAAUUUUCAUUGUAAGAUAAAAUAUAUGGGUCAUUAUUUUCAUGACUUAAAUUAUAUUUGAUCUAUAUAUUAGGUAAAUAUUGCAAUAGUUAAUUGUUAAAGUAUUUUACUUGACGAAAUGUUUUUUCUGUUGGUACAGAUGUGUAAUGGUGGCAAUAGAAGGAUUCAAAAUUUAAAAUAUGAAAUCCAUUUAGAAGGAAAGAAUCAAUACAUUAAUUUGGAUUUUUAAUUAAUGUUCUUUUCUUAUUUACCUCAAAAGGUAAAAUUGACACAAGAAAAAAAUUAAUAAAAGUCAAUGGACCCAAAUCUACAGCCAAAAAAGGUGUGGACUAAAUCCUAUUACGGCUAGAGAUUUUGGACUUAGAUCGAAGAAUCCCUUUUUUAAAAAACAAAAAAAUAGUAUAGCCGCACGGCUAUACUCCAUUUUUUAAAUUUAUUUACAAAAAAAAAUAGACUUGUGUUGACACAUGGCACCUAAUCGACGGGAUCUUCUUUUAUAUUUCCCUUUUAUAGUAUAGCCGCACGGCUAUCCUAUUUUACAUGUGGACGCCUUGGCGCUGGGCAUCUGCUAUACUCCAAUUUUUAAUUUUUUUAGUAAAUAGUAUAGCCGAACGGCUAGACUUCAUUUUUUAAUUUUUUUAAAAAAUAGUAUAGCCGCGCGGCGGUAUUGUUUUAAAAAUAAAAUUUGUCUUUAAUAAAUAGUAUAAACCAACGGCUAUAGUCUUUUAUAUAUAUGUACUUAUGUAUUUUUCAAUAAUAUAUUGGUGUUCUAUACAUGUCUCAUGUUUUUUGAAAAGCAAACAUACAAUAGUCAUAUUGUACAUGGAGUACGCACGGUAUACUCAAUGUUUUUUAAAUUUAUUUACAAAAAAAAUAGACUUGUGUUGACACAUGGCACCUAAUCGAUGGGAUCUUCUUUUAUAUUUCCCUUUUAUAGUAUAGCCGCACGGCUAUACUAUUUUACAUGUGGACGCCUUGGCGCUGGGCAUCUGCUAUGCUCCAUUUUUUAUUUUUUUUAGUAAAUAGUAUAGCCGAACGGCUAGACUUCAUUUUUAAUUUUUUUUUGAAAAACAGUAUAGCCGAGCGGCUGUACUGUUUUAAAAAUAAAAUUUGUCUUUAAUAAAUAGUAUAAACCAGCGGCUAUAGUCUUUUAUAUAUAUGUACUUACGUAUUUUUCAAUUAUAUAUUGGUGUUCUAUACAUGUCUCAUGUUUUUUGAAGAGCAAACAUACAAUAGUCAUAUUGUACAUGUACGUACGUAUUUCUAAUGUUUUAUAGACCUAAUUUUUAAAAAUUUUCAAUAAGACACACAAAAUUCACGUAUUAUAUAAAUAAUUCUAACAUAUUACUGAAUAAGAAUAACAUAUGUUGUAAAAAUGAUAUUAAAAUAUCAUAUAGUGAAAGAUUAAUAUCUACUUUGGAUAUGUUGAAACUAGCAAAUUAAUAUAUAUAAGGUACAAACUAAUGCAACUAGGAGGGUCCUUUUUUAAUUUUUUUUUUGAAUAACAAAAGCUUUGUUAUGUAUAUUAUCUUUCUUUUUAAGGAGGGGGGAGGAGUGAGGGGGUUGUGGCCAUGUGAACAGUUCAAACUUUAUGUUCAUUAAAAAAAAAAAAAAAAAAAAAACCAUGUUAUGACUGGAAAAUGUUGAUCGAUCAUGUUCAUUAGUACCAAGUUUGGUGAUGGCCUGAAAUGUUUUCACUAGGUAAUUUAUUUCAUAUAAAUAUCUUUGGAUGAAAGUUACUCAAGUAACUUUGGUCUUAGAUUUCUUAAACUAGUUUGCAGAUAAAUUUUAAUUUGAGUAGGUCAGACUUUUGGUUUUUUUUCACCAUAAUUCUUUUGUGUUCUGGUUUGUCAGGUAAUCUCCAAGACUUUGAUAUUGACAUUGACUUGAGUGUAACCUUGUGCACUUGAUAUCAUUGUUGUCACUUACAUGCAAAUCAUGCGAGCUUCCUCUUUUCCUUGCAUGCAACUCAAAAAUGGAUUUACAAAUGAGGUUUGCAGGUAUCAGUUUCGUUGUACUAUAAAUCCCCCUUAGAAGCUUUUCUUAACGUACGUCAUGCUGCGAUUGCCUGGCUCAAAACUUGGGUUCAACAAAUCUUUUACCGUUGCCGAAGGUUAAGGAGGAUAAAUCUUGCGUACAAUUCAUUUUUCACAUUGAAUCUCUGGCAUGACUAGCAUGGAACCAGCCUUUACUAGAAUUUCUCUAGCAUCAAGUCUCUUCCUCUUUUAAAUUAAAGCAAUUCUCUUUCAAAACCUUGUGCCUUGGUUGAAUUUGAAUUUCUGUUGUGAUGCUCUCACCUUGGAAACUCAAUGAGAUCCUGCAAUGGGCAGAUCAUAGUUCUCCUGAAGUAGGGUUUAUUAGCCAUAACUCUAUGGUUGAUCAAAAUGAUCAUCACACCCAGCAAAAACCAGAAAAUGGUUAACACACCCAUGCUAUGACAGCUACUAUGCUCCAACGGUCACAUAGGCAUAUUCAGCACAAGGACAAGCAUAUUCCUUGUUCUUAUCUGCUGAGUCAUCCUCAGGGGUCCUUGCCCUAGGGUUUUCUAUAUAGUCUCUUGUGUAUAUAUACACACCUUUUACCUCAAUUGUAAAUGUGAAGAGCCGCAGUCUUUCAUUGUCUGCUACAUUGAUUGUAACCCAUUAUCAAUAUUAAUAGAGUUAUAGACAUUGCUUUUCUCAACACCUACAGACCUUUUUCUUUCUCAGUAUGAAUUUUAUCAGGGUUUACGUCUUCCGUCUAUCUAACUUGCCUCAUUCCAAGCGCACCAAACAGAAUUGAACCUGCAACUCCACCUCACUUUGACCAGCUUACUACAAUAUGAAAAAGGACGCAUUUCUAGUAAGUUAUUAGUUACUUCUUUUUAGUUUCCGAUUCUAAUUAGGAAUUGAUUUACUUUCCUGAUUUUGGUUUAAUUUUACUUUAAAUCAUGGCUCUGCUCAUGUCAGAUAGAGCGAGGAAGGAGCAAUCACUAGUACGAUUUACUAUUUGCGCGACGAAAGUUUGCGCGACGAAUAUGUUUUCGUCGCGCAAACAACACUAUUGCGACGAAAAAAAAUUUGCGUCGCGCAAACAACAGAAAAAUAGCGCGACAAAAAUAUUCGUCGCUCAAACAAUCUAUGCGCGACCUAAAUUAAUUUCGUCGCGCAAAGGUAAUAGAAAAAAACCCGGGUUUUUUGGUUGGCGCCAAAAGCUUGCGCGACGACAAAAAUCGUCGCGCAUGAUAAUAUUGCGCGACAAAUACAAGCUUCGUCGCGUAAAGAUGGACAGAAAAUUGGCUCCUUUUUUUUGGCGGUAAAAAAAUUUGCGCGACGAGAGUUUUCGUCUCAAAAGACAACUUAGCGCGACGAAAAAAUGUACCGUCGCGUAAGAAAACGAGGGAUACUUUUUUUUGGCGCCAAAAUGAAGGGCGGAUAAAAUUUUGUUUGCGCGACGGAUUUUCUUCGUCGCGAAAAGUUUAAUGCCGGUGAGUUCUUGCGCGACGGAAUUUUAACCUUGCGCGACGAAAGAUAUAAUUUGCGCGACGAAUGUUUGUGCGACGAAUAGUAUUCUUCGUCGCGCAAAAAAACAGAUGUCGGCACGUAUUUGCGCGACGGAAAUGUUAUUUUGUGCGACGAAAAAGUGUCCUUUUGCGACGGCAGUUUGCGCGACGAAUUCAAUUAUUCGUCGUGCAAAGUCCUUCUUCUUCAUAUUAGUAUCUGCCAUUGCAGAGGCAGAAUGCAGAAAUUGCAUUCUGCCUCUCUCUCCUCUCUCUCACUCCUCCUGCCGCUGUUCUGCUGUCAAUUCAGUACGUUCAUUGGGUAUGUAUUUUUUGUCGUUAGUUUAAAUGUAUUAAUGUAAAUUCGUACUAACGCUAUUAAUUUUGUUCUCGUUAGGGAUAUCUGUGAUUAGUGGAGAACAAUUGAGAAGGUAUGUUAUUGUAAAAGUUUGUUUGUUAUGUUUGUAAUUUUUUUGUGAAGUUAUAUGUGUAUAAUGUUGUGAAAUUAUGCGUGACGUAGCACAAUGUAUUUGUGAUGUACGAAGUUAAUUGAAAUUAACUUCGUACUUUUAUUUUUAUGUUUAGUAACACGUAGUUUCCCGUUCGAGAUUAGUUGAAUUUCGUGCAUGGAUGCGUAAGGCAUGACUGCGGUCCAAUUAAUUCUUGAAUUGUCCCAUUAUUUGGACAGUUUGGUAAUGCAUAGUGUUGUCACAUAAUCUUCGGCUACAGGAUUAGGUUUCGAUUGUGGAGAUUUCGGUGUCAUCUCGGUACGUUCUUCGGGUGGUACGUAGGUAUUUAUACCUAUGCCCACUUCAAGAACUGUGUCGAGAUGCUGUCGAAAUUAAUCCACGUCGAAAUCUAAUCUCAUGUAGCCGUAGGUUACGUGACAGGACUAUGCAUUCCCGAAUGGGAUAGGGCCCUUACCGGAGGCAUAAGGUGACAUUAUAACUUCGUAUGAAGUUGUUGUGAUUGUUGUGUCGUGAUUGUGGUUUCAGGAAUUAUGAGCAGAAGGUGGAUACAGAACCCGAAUAGAUGCGCAGACGAAUACUUGGAUGGAAUCGAGGAUUUUAUUGAGUUUGCACGUAGACACAACCCGGGUGCAACUAGAAUCCGUUGCCCUUGUAGGAGGUGUAACAACACGUUGUGGGAGACAAUUGAAAAUGUUGGAUUUCAUUUAGUAAGGAAUGGAAUGAUUGAAACAUAUAGCAUUUGGAAUCUUCACGGCGAACAAGUAGACCAUGCUUCGUCUUCAAAUGCCCCAAGAGUGGACAAUGUUGAACCUAUUGUGGAUCCUAAUGAUCAAGUCAUGGGUAUUAUACAGGAUGCUUUUUCAUUCGCAUCGACCAACAUCAAUCAGGAAGGGGAAGAUGACAUGCCUACACCAAUAGACAGUGCGGAGUUUGAACAGUAUGAAAAACUGUUAAAAAAUGCCAACCAAGAGUUAUACCCGGGGUGCGAGAGCUUUUCCGUUCUCACUGCCAUUGUGGAGCAAAUGCACGGAAAAAUAAAGUAUCGUAUGUCGAACUUGUGUUUCGAUUACUUUUUGGGGGUUUUCAAGAGAAUGCUUCCGACGGACAAUUGUUUGCCGAAAGAUCAUAAACAUGCACAGAAGGUGUUGCAUGGUCUUGGAUUGGGUUAUGAAAAAAUCCACGCUUGCAAAAACAAUUGCAUGUUAUUCUACAAAGAGCAUGAAACGUUGGAUACAUGCCCUAUAUGCAAUGAGUCGAGGUUCAAAAUGACAUCCCAGAAUAGAACGACUAAGAUACCACAAAAAGUCAUGCGUUAUCUGCCCCUUAAACCUAGGUUGCAGCGAUUGUAUAUGUCGACGCAUACUGCCACAGACAUGAGAUGACAUAAGGAAAAACGGGUAGACGAUGAUGUGAUGCGGCAUCCUGCAGAUGGGGAGGCAUGGAAAGAGUUCGAUCGAACGUUCCCCGAGUUUGCUGCUGAUCCCCGAAAUGUUAGAUUGGGACUUGCCACUGACGGAUUCAAUCCGUAUGGGGUUCUAAACCAACACCACAGCACUUGGCCGAUUUUCGCAUUCCCAUAUAAUUUGCCGCCUUGGAAAUGCAUGAAAAAAGAAUACAUGAUGAUGACUGUUUUGAUAACUGAGGAUCCUGGCAGGUCAAUUGAUGUGUACUUAAGGCCUCUGGUUGAUGAGCUGAAGGAUUUAUGGACAAACGGUGUUCGCACGUACGAUAAAUCAACUGGGAGGAUGUUCACUUUACGAGCAGCAGUUAUGUGGAAUGUGAAUGAUUUUCCAGCAUAUGCAAUAGUUUCUGGGUGGAGCACAAAAGGUUAUAUGGCAUGUCCUGUAUGCAAGGAAGAUGUAACUUCUGGUUGGCACGCGGGAAAAGUUUGUUACCUUGGUCAUCGGAGAUGGUUGCCAUGGGACCACGAGUGGCGAGAAAAAGAUAAAGAGUUCGACGGGAACACAGAGCGUCGCCUCAGACCUAGAGAAUGGUCCGGUGAUGAGAUCUUGGAACAGCUGAACCGUUUGGAUUUUGCUCCGUUCGGGAAAACAGUUAGUCGGACCAGACCUUCUACACAUUUGAACUGGACGCACAAGCCUAUGUUUUUUGAGCUCCCAUAUUGGUCGAAACUGAAAUUGAGGCAUAAUCUAGAUGUGAUGCAUGUUGAGAAAAAUGUAUUCGACACAUUGGUGGGCACGAUUCUAGAUAUUGAUGGGAAGACGAAGGACACGAUCAAAGCUCGUCUUGAUUUGGAAAGAAUGGGCAUCCGAAGGGGUUUAUGGAUGAAUAGGGACAGUGAUAAAGCUAGAAGGGAUCUUGCAUUCUUCUCUAUGAAACCGAAUGACAAAAAAGAGUUUCUAAAGUUUGUAUCGUCUGUAAAGUUUUCUGAUGGGUAUGCUUCUAAUAUCGUCCGUUGCGUGAAUGUUGACGGGGGUAAAUUUACUGGACUUAAGAGCCAUGACUGCCAUGUGUUUAUGCAAUGCCUACUUCCUGUGGGUAUUCGACAUCUAUUGCCGGAAGAUGUUGUGAAGCCAAUCAUGUUGUUGUCCAGAUUUUUUUCCCAAUUGACGGCAAAAACAUUGCGAAAGACAGACAUAUUGCAGUUGCGCCAUGACAUUGUCCAAGUCCUAUGCAAGUUUGAGAUGAUAUUUCCUCCAGCUUUCUUCACAAGUAUGAUGCACGUGAUGGUUCACUUGCCAGAAGAGGCAUUGCUUGCUGGUCCUGUCAACUAUCGCUGGAUGUAUCCAAUAGAAAGGUAUAUAAUCCUUUUCGUUUGUGUAUGCAUCAUUAUCACAGGCUUGCUAAAUUGUAUCAUAUCUUUUUAUUUUGACAGGCUUCUCGGAGAGCUGAAAAAAAGUGUACGCAACAGGGCGAAGCCCGAAGGAUCAAUUAUAGAGGCUUGGGUUCAAUAUGAGUCGCUUAAUUUCUGUGGAAUGUAUUUAAAAGAUGUGGAGACGGCUUUCAAUCGUCCUCAGCGUAAUAACGACGGAGGUAUGAGAAAGGAAAAACUUUAUGUUUUUGCCCAAAGCGCACGGCCCUUUGGAGAUCCUGGACGAGGAGAGUCGUUUUCUACAAAUGACAUGGAAGUAGCGCAUUGGUUCGUACUGAACAAUUGUGAUGAGAUAAUGGCAUACUUAGAUGAGCAUGAAGAGAUGAUGAAGCGAGAACAUCCAUCACAUUUAGUUGCCCAGAAACAACGUGAAUUGUUUCCACAAUAGUUUUUGGAAUCUGUAAGUUAUAAGUUUUUUGUAUUUGACAAAUAUAAAUUUUAGUAUUUAAUUUUAUCAGACUAACAUGUGAAUGGUUUUGUAUUAUAUUAGGUGAAUAAGUUGAAAUCAUCGAAUUCCCCCACUUACAGUGAUGAGUUAUAUAACUUGGCCUUCGGCCCUAUUCGCGCUGAAUUGUUUUCGGGUUGUUAUAUUAACGGUGUUAAAUUUUUGGGGGCUGCACGAGAUGACAAGUUGUGUACGCAAAACAGCGGUGUCCAUGUCCCAGGUGGAGGCGAAAGUACGAACAUUGAUUUCUAUGGGAAACUCACAAAUGUCGUUCAAUUGCUUUACAAAGAUCGAUACCAAGUGAUCAUAUUUAAGUGUCGAUGGUUUGAUAGCAACCCAAAUAGGCCGGGAAGUGUUAAAAUCGACCAUGGCUUACUAUCUGUGAACAUUAACAGAACUUGGUAUGAUGACGACCCUUACAUUUUGGCGAACAUGGCAACACAAAUUGUGUAUCUAGAUGACCCUAAAGCCGGGAGCAGUUGGAAAGUUGUUCAGAAGAUGGAUCAUAGGAACGUGUAUGCUAUACCAGAAUUAGACGGGAACACUGAGAACGACGUCGACAAUGUGGCUGACCAACGUUUAGAAUCAUCAAUGGAAAAUGAUGCGGAUACACUUCGAGAUACACAUGUUAUACAAGAACCGUUUCAAAUUCAAGGAGUGUCUUCAAUCGAAAUACCGAUUCAGUCAAUUACAAUUGACCUCGGGGAUCUCCCAAGAUUCGAUGUUGCAGUGGGCCCGAGCAGCGAAGAUGAUGUAGUUAUAGCAGACGAGGAGGAGGAGGAUUGGGAGACCGAAAGUGAUGAUAGCGACGAUAACGAAAGUUAUUAUAGUUCAGAUGAUGAAUAAUUCAAUUUUUUAUAAUUUUAUUAUGUUUGUGUACAGACUUUGUGUAAUACAAAUGUUCUAAUAUAUGUAGUACAAAUAUCCAAAUCUUAUAUAUGUGGACAACUGAAACAUUAUUCAAAUACAUUUAGUUACAAAACAUUGGUAAAUUAAUCUAUCCAAACCCUUUUAAUAACAAUUUGUAAUUUUUUUUUUCACAACACACAUUUACAAAAUGAAAAUGAUACAAAAUUUGUUAUAAAACAUUGAUAAAUAAUUAUAUCCAAACAUUUUUAUACAAAGUUUGAAAAUUAUUGACAAUAAACAUUUUUCAAAUCUGAAAACCCAUGCGCGACGAAGAACGCAAUUUUUGCGCGACGAAGAAAUAUCGUCGUGCAUAAGUUUGCGCGACAAAGAUAAUUUAUUGCGCGACAAAGUGUCAUGCGUCACGCGAUGAACUUUUGCGCGACGUAAAACAUUUCUUCGUCGCGCAAAUAUUAUAUGAUUUUACAAUAUAUAUUAUAUAUACACAUAUAUAUUUGAAAUUGACGAUCGAGUUAGUUCAUUGUAUUCAUAUAGGGUCAUGGAGUGUAGGUGUAAAAAUUCGUAAAAAUCGGAGUUAAAAUAACCGUUAAAUAAUGAGUUUUCAUUUAUAACCGUUCAAAAGUUUUGACCCGCUACUUGAUCUCCGAAUGUUUUUUUUUUUUUUCCAAUUUUUGGGGUCUAAGAUCUUGAAGUACAAAUAAACAAGUUUGACGGUUCGAUUGCUGAAACUACUUUCGUAGAAUGCGUUUGCCAUAGCAAUCAUAUAUUCACGAACAAUGAAUCGUUUACUUAUACUUUCGUUAAAUAUAACAUAACAUUUUGUCGUAUCACCCUAGUGUAAACAUCUGAAAUUCAUGAUCAACUUCACUAAUUGUAUUCACAUAGGGUAAAGAAAAGUAGCAGUAAAAAAUCUUACAAAUUAGAGCUAAAUUAACCGUUAAAUCAUGACUUUUCAUUUACAACCGUCGAAAAGUUUCGUCCUGUUACUUGAUCUCUUAAUGUUUGUUUGUUUUGAUUUUCGGCAUAUACGAUCUUGAAGUAUAAAAAAACAAGUUUACCGGUCGGAUCAUGAAAACUAGUUUCGGGUGUAGGGUUUCUGUGGUUUAGGGUACAGGGUUUGCGCGACGAAAACACGUGUUAGUCGCGCAAAGCCUGGCCAGGACGGGAUUGCGCGACGGAAAACGUUAGGUUCGUCGCGCAAUAUCACCAGAACUUUCGCCUCCCACUCUUCCUCCCUCUGGACACUUAGUGAAAAUUUUGUGGGUGUUUUUGCGCGACGAUGUAACGUAAUUCGUCGCGCAAUACCCUAUUAAAAUUUCUUGCGCGACGUAACGUUUAUCACUGUGUCGCGCAAGAUUUCAAUAUCGCCCGCUAAACCCUAAAUCCCAAAUUUGGGCGGACUGCCAACAUUGCGCGACGAAUUGCUUAUUCUUGCGUCGCGCAAGGUUUCAAAAUCGCCCCGCUAAACCCUAAAUCCCAAAUUUGGGCGGACUGCCAACAUUGCGCGACGAAUAAGUUAUUCUUGCGUCGCGCAAGGUUUCAAUAUCGCCCGCUAAACCCUAAAUCCCAAAUUUGGGCGGACUGCCAACAUUGCGCGACGAAUUGCUUAUUCUUGCGUCGCGCAAGGUUUCAAAAUCGCCCCGCUAAACCUUAAAUCCCAAAUUUGGGCGGACUGCCAACAUUGCGCGACGCAAGAAUAAACUUGUAUUUCGUCGCGCAAAACCCAUUUAAACUUUCUUGCGCGACGUAUCUUUUAUCACUGCGUCGCGCAAGAUUUGAAUAUCGCCCGCUAAACCCUAAUUCCCAAAUUUAGGCGGACUGCCAACAUUGCGCGACGAAAUAAACAUGUUAUUCGUCGAGCAAAACCCAUUUAAAAUUUCUUGCGCAACGUGUUGAUAUAGUCGUCGCGCAAAAAUGAAUAAAAUUUCAGAAACCACGCGAUGGCCUCCUUCUUCCCCAGUUUUCACAAAACUUCAACGCCGCCGUCUCUCUCCCUCCGCCGCCGCUGCCGCCUACCUCGGUGGAUUUGGACCGCGCUCGCCUUUCAGCUGUUACCCCGGAGCUCCCCCCCCCCGUCACCGUCGAGCCAGCCGCCGCGAUUUCUUCGGUUGUCACAGAAUCGGCUCCGCCGUGAUUCUCCCUCCUCCGGCAACCAAUUCCGACACCUGAUGUAUGGUUUCUGUCCUAUUUUUCAUGCUUUAGCUGAUGGUUGGGUAGGAAUUGGUUGAUUGUUGCUCUAGGCCGCUUAAUUUGAAACCCUAAGUUUCGGCCGGAUUUUGAAUUUCAAUUCCGGCCACUUCCGGCCAUUUUUCGGGCUAUGUCCGAGAACAAAAGUGGCCCGAAAUGAUGUAUUCAACCUAGGGUAGGAACCUUGGCCCUUAGUUUUACGAAUUUUCCGGCGAUUGGUAUCGCUUUGGGGCAGCGCGUGGGGCGGCGCGUGGGGUACUGUAGCGGCCUGAAUCAGGUCCCAGUGCAAUCGUUUGGUUGUCACGAGCGCAUAGGUGUUUUCGGAUUGGAAUUUGGUUGCUGUUUGCGUCUCGAACGGAUUUUGCCUAUUGUGCGAUUUCCGGGGUUGUUAUGUUCGGACCGUUGGAUCGAACUCAAACUCACGUAUGGUGUAGGUUGUAUUUGUUGGAUCGUCUACGAUUCGACGGAUCGUGGAUCGGAGUCCCGGAUACUCCAAACUCGCAAACCCUAGGUCCAUAAUCUGAAUUGUAUCAUAUCAAUAUCGGAUAUUCGUAUAUUUUAUUAAUUCGUUUCUGUAUUUAUGAAAUUGUGCAGAUGUCAGACCUGAUUACACGUCGUAGGGCGGUGACGACCACGCAGAGUUCGGGGCCCCCGACUCAGCCGACAUCUGCUGCCACUGCACCAGCAUUGAUGGAGCACUUGGCAGUUGGACCUGCGGGGUCCCAGGCGCCUGCCUCAUCAGCGUCAUCAGUGGCGCAGCCUGUUAGCGCCAGGCGGCGUCAUCGGCCCGCCAGCACCACCGACACCACAUCCACGGAUGCGUCGGGGUCACAGCCAGGUAUAGCCAUCACAUUUAUCCAGUUCAUUUUAUGUUUUAUUUCUUCUUGUUGUUUUUUAAUUUUUGUAUGUGUAUUUGAUUGUUAAAUUUAUUUUUUAUUUAACAUUCAUGUCAUCUUUCUUUGCAGCAAAGAAGAACACCCGAGGGCCGUGUCGGCAAUUGAAGACGGCGAAGGUCACCCGGGUGACCAACAGUCGUAUCAACAUCGGAUACGACGAGCGACAUCGGGCUGCACCGACGGCGGAGUUGCAUAGCUCCUUGGCCCACGACAUUGGUCAUGUCAUUCGGAGCUAUUGUCCGAUGCAAUGGAAGUCUUGGAAGGUGAUGCCUGACGAGACCAAGACUGCGGUUCGCGGCCAGUUGUCUAUAUGCAGGCCUUUUCAUUCUUUUUCUUUCAAACGUAGUUUUUAUAUUAUUUAAAUGUAUGUAAUUAAUUUAUUGCAGACGAACUACAACUUGGAGGACCUUGACGAAGAGUCGUUGGCGUACGUCAACAGACUCUUCUCUGAGAGGUACAAGCAGUGGAAGAGCGACUUGCACCACCAUUUUGAGGCGUUCGAUGAUCCGCAAGUCGCUCUUCAAGAGGGUUGCCCGAAAGAGCUUGAGGGGCGGGAGGAUAGUUGGGCGUGGCUCUGCGCUCAUUUUCAGGCGCCCGCUUUUGUGGUAAUUUUGUAUAUUUUAUUUUAUUUUAUUACAAAUGUUUUUUUAAUUUUUUAUAUUUAAUUUCAAUUUCAACUAAUACGUUUUAUUUUUUGUAUAACAGAAUAAAGCCAAAGUCAAUAAGGGCAAUAGGAAGAAGAAGACUCUUCUCCAUCAUUCGGGUUCCAGGCCCUUCUCCUAUCGGAUGGAUGCACGGCGUCAGGUAAUAAUAGAAUAAUUUUUAUUUAAUUUUUUACUUUUUCAUUAUUCUUAAUUUAUUUUGUCGUUCUAAUAUUUGUCUUCUUUUGUUCAAUUUAGGGGGGGUCCAAAUUCCCAGAGAUCGACGUCUUUGGCGACGUUUAUGUUCGGCCUGGGAAUGAGUUGGCCGAGUCCCUUCAUGUAAGUAUUAUUUAAUUUUAGUUCUUAUGUUACGAUUCAACUUUAAAGUUCAUUAUAUGAGUGUUUGAAUUUAUAUUUUAUGUUAUGCUAAACAAACGACGAUAGUGGAGAGGAGCCAGUUGGUUCUUCAGGAGUCUGCCUCCCAACUUCCUCCCGAUACUCCGAUCGAGUCUGUGGAUCCUCCACAGGAUGCUGGGUUUCAGAUCUUGACGGAGACAUUGGAUCAGACUCUAGGGAGGAGACCGGGGACAUAUUGUCGAGGGAUGGGGAAUGCCAGGCGGAGGAAACCCAGACCCCGUUCAUCAGCGCAGUCGAACAGUCAGGUCUGCUUUGACAGCACAUGUGGCCACUCUUCAGAGCCAGAUGUCGGUCAUUCUGCAGUCCCUCGCACAGUCCGGCAUUCCAGUCCCGCAUUUUGAUGUGCCGACCUCCCAGCCCGUCCACCCCGAGCAUGCCCACCAGACCACUGCCCCAGUGGACGCCCAGACCUCCGAGCCGUAUACUGGCGACGACCCGGUUGAUUUUGCUUCAUUAUUUGAUUAGUGUAUUUAUUUUCAUUAUAAACAUUUAUUUUAUUUGUAAUACAUUUAUUUUAUUUUAUAACAAAAAUUUAUUCUAAUUUAUUUUUAUUGCAAUUUCAUUGUUUAAUCAAUAAAAAAACCAAUUUUUUUUUUUUUUAAAAAAAAUUGUAAUAUUAUUUUUGCGCGACGGAAAACAUGUUGUCGCGCAAACAUGUAACAAAAAAAAAAUAAAAAAAUCAACUUUUUUUUAUUGCUUUUCAUUCUUGCGCGACGAACACAUAAGUCUUGCAAACACGUUUUGCGCGACGAAAGGUUUCGUCGCGCAUCUAGUUUUGCGCGACGACAGUGAUGUUCGUCGCGCACAUAUAUGAGCGACGAAAACAUUCUCAUCGCGCGAAUGGUUCUGCGACGAACAUAUACGUCUCCCGAACAAGUUUUGCGCGACGAAUUAAAUUUCGUUGCGCUAUUCCUGUCGAAUACUUGGUCGUCGCGCAAAGAUUUAUGCGACGACUAGUUGUUCCGUCUCCACACCGUUGGUGCAACGAUGGUUUACCCGUCGCACUGUUUUGCGCGACGAAGGGUUAUACCUCGUCGCGCAAAGGCUUUCUUCACGAUCUUCGCGCGACGGAAUGUGCGCGACGAAUGUUUUGUCGUGCUGAAAUUAGUGCGACUAAAUAAGACUUUGCGCGACGUUUUGUUAUUCGUCGCGCAAAGAGUAAAAUGUAGUAGUGAAUGGCAGAGGACGCGAUUCUAGGAUACCCGGAGAAAAACAAUCAAAUAUCAGACUCAAUUCAAGAACAUGAAUAAAAGAUUUCAUUGACAUAGUGGUCUUGUUUGUGUCGGGGUGUAGAAUCCCUGUUUGGAGUUUGCUACUCCAAAAUCUGAAAUGGCCUAAACCAUGUGAGUUAAAACUUUUUUUUUUAAAAUACAACUAAUAAUCUAAAUUAUUAUAAAUUAAUCUAAUCUAAGGGGAAAGGGACUCAAAUUUGGGUGUAAGGAGGUGGGCACAUUGCCCUGGCCAACUAAUCUUACCCACAACUUGAGUUAAAACCUACAAUAUAAGUAAUUAACAUAUACAUUUUGCUUGUUUCUAAAGGUGCGCUUAGGCUUUUCAUUGACUCAGUCUUGUUGAGGAAAUGACGAGAGUUUUUAAUUUGUAUUUUAGAUGGAUGUGUUAUAUUUUGAUGAAAAAUAUCAUUUUAAAAUAUUAUAUUUUGAUGAGACAUAAGAUAUUAUAACGAAAGUUUUUGAUAAAAUGCCAUAACAGGAAUCAAAUGAUUAAAGAUUGACUUGAAAAAAAGAACCUUCAUACAAUUUAGGGCAAAGUAAACAAGUCAUAUAUAGCCUAGAAAAACAUAACGAACCAAAAGAAAAGGCCCAAAAUACUAAUUUUACAUAUAUAUAUAUGUUUAUAUAUUUAUAUUAUUUUAAUUACGGUAUCGGUGCCGUACCUGUAUCCUACUUUUUGGAGAUUUGCUGUAUCGGUGUAUCGUAUAGUAUCGGAGUACCUGUAUCCGUAUCGAUGCAACAUAGGGACUGAUACAUAUCUUGUGCUCUUUAAUUUCCAGCGCAAAUUACCUGUUAGAAGUUUACUCCUUUUACAUUGUAAUUAGAUUGCUGGAUGGUUGUUCAUUUGGUGUUUCCUGGUUGGAGGUUGAGGCUUUGCUCUAGAUGACUUUAGCCCACAAAAGAGAAAUUAGUCUAUAUGUUUCAAUUUAUUUUAGAAGCAUAAUCAAUCUAACUAAAAUGGUCAUGUAGGCAAACAAUAAGAUAGUCACUGUAAAAGAUUGAUGUGAUCAUAAAAAAAGGUAUUGACAAGCUUUUAAAUGUGCUUAUCGACCUACUAAUUAGUUCAACUUUGUAUUUUGUUUUAAAUUUAGAUAUUUGUUGUAGUCCAUAUAAGAAAGGGCCUAUUUCUUAUUGUCUUCUACAUAGUUGAAGCACCUUCAUAUGGCAUAAUGAAGUAAAAGAAUAUGAUUGAAUUUGAUCUGUACAUUAUAGCGAGGUUGUUCUUUAAAAUUGGCAUGCGCAAAGUAGGAAACCUUGAGUUUGUUUUCUACCUCACCAAAUAAUUUGACAAAAGAAUAAAGUAGUGCAAAAAAGGCUUCUUUGAAGCCCUAUUCUUUGGAUGAUGGCUUUGUGUAAUUGAUUUCUCUGUUCACGUAAUAUGAAAUUGGUACUUAGGUGACGAGGGGUAAACUUAAAAGAUAUUCAACCAAGAACGCAACAAACUUCACACACUCUAGACCUUCACCAAUACACUUAUGACUAGUCAACUGCUAGGCAUGAACAUCCACAAUUAAGAAUACACACAGAGUAUGCCACAAUGUACCUGCAACCCUAGAAGAUUACUAGUGACAACCUAGGCACUCAGAAGGACCCGUCAAUCUAGGCAUUCCCUGUGCUAGCAACAACUAUGGUGAAAGUGUGUGAAAUUAUCAUAAUCAAGUAAACACCAAACAGCAGAUAAUGAUGACUAGUCAACUAUAAGGACACAAACUCAGAAUUCAUAGGAUGACUAGUCAACCACUAAGAACACAAACCCAGAAUUCAUAGGAUGACUAGUCAACUAUAAGGAUACAAACCCAGAAUUCAUACAAUGACUAGUCAACCACUAAGAACACAAACCUAGAAUUCAUAGGAUGACUAGUCAACCACAAUUCAUACGAUGACUAGUCAACCACCAAGAACACAAACUCAGAAUUCAUACGAUGACUAGUCAACCACUAAGAACAGAAACCCAGAAAAAUUACAGUGAUGCAAUCAGAAAUUGUUCACCUAGAAACCCACAAUUGGGAAAAACUGGGAGUCAUCAACCGACCAGCCAAUCCACUAAGUAGAAAAAGAUUCUUACAAAGGAACACGAGCAAGCUCAAGAAAAACUUAGAUCUAUUUAGGAAGAUGAGCUAUACCUCCUUUGUGCAAUCUUCUUCUCCAACUUAGCAAAGCUUGAAGCUCAGUUCUUCAUGGCAAUGACAGCUCUUUCUCCAGCUCAUUCAUCCCAUGACACCAGCUUGCAAGCUCUAACUUAGUCAGAAACCAAAAUUUGGAUUCAAAGGAGAAUGACCAAUUUCUUCAAGAAACCAUACUCUUGAGGAAAUCAAUCUUGAAUCUGACCUAAAUAUAUAUGAGAGAGUGUUGAUCUAGCAAGAUGAGGAUUUCAUAUUUCAAAUGCAGUUUUCAAAAAGAAACAUUUUGGAAAACUCAAAGAUGAAAAAUAUGAAGGUUACACUUGAGGAAGAAGAGAAAGUUUACAAAGAAACUUUCCAAAACUUGCCUACAAAAGUGAUAGCUACCAAAUGAGGAAUUCCUUGGCUUUUACCAAAAAUUCCUAGGUCAGAAUAGACACAUGGCAGCUGAGAAAUUCGUAGAAAAAGAUAAAAAAAUGGUUAAGCCCCAACUGGAAACAGUAAGCUGGAAAACCGAAUUGAAACAAAGGUUGGCUAGUCAUACGAAUGCAAGAUGACUAGUUAUACAAAGAAAAGAUGACUAUUCAUAAUCUUCAGAAAUUUAAUGAAUGCAAUGUAGUGUAAUGCAGAGUUUACCUUUGUCAAACACAUUGUUUUCCAUCAUAAUGUAGGCAGAUAAGAACACCUAGAGAAGUAAUUCUUAAUCUAAACUUAGAGCUUGGGAAACUACAAUGAUUGUCUUAUUACAAAAUUGUCAAGGGAAGCCAAAAGAAAAAACUCAAAAUGCAUACAUUAACAUGAUCGAAAAUGAGUUUUAAUGUAGGUAAUAAACUUUUAAGAUAAAUAAUGAGCCUGAAAAGAUUGCAAGCUUUUUGAGAGAGUAAUGUAUUGUGAAUUAUUGGGCCAUUUAUUGCAAUAUCAGAAAAGUCAUGUGUAUUGGAUGAUUAUGGCUGAUUGAUAUUCAUUCAUUUCGUAUGCUACUUACUUUGAUAUUAAAGUCAAUGUUGAUCCUGCGUUGUGGCUGCUGCAGAUUGGCAAUCUCGGGCUUCUGCUUCUAUGGCAUAUUCUACACCUUUUUGUCAGCAUAUGGUACUUUCUAUUGGGUUUAGCUUAUGUUCUUCAAAGCUAUCUUAUUUCUGGUGGAGUACUCGAGCUACAAAGCCCUUAAUUUGGGCAAGCUACGUUACCUGGCAAUUGUGAUAGAAAGUGAAGAAGCUUACCAAACAUCAAAAGUAAUUGAGCUGCUGCAGUGGCUAGAAGCUAUUGGUGUGAAGCGUGUGUGCCUCUAUGAUACAGAAGGUAAUGGUGGUUUGCUAUCCUGAUUGAUGUCAGACGCUUUCUACUAUUGGUAUGCAACAAUGUAACAUAUGUAUUUAAAUCUUGUACAAUUAUUUGACUUUUCUGAUGACCAGGAGUGUUGAAGAAAUCAAAAGAAGCCAUCUUGAAUAAACUGAGAAAUGCAAGCGAAUUUAAGGUGUUGUCUUCUGUCCCUACAGUAAAGUUACUUUCUGGUUCUACAAUUCUCCACCAUAAAUUAACUAAUUAGCAUACUGGGAAGCAGUUCAGGCCGUCACGAUCAAUCUUCCCUUCUAGGUGUAUCUAGAAUUCAGGAUUGUGUUGAGACCAACAGAGUUUUCUUUUGAUACCAAUACCAAGCAAUUGCCUUUAAUUUUUGUUUUAUAUUUUUAAUAUGACUCCUAUAUAAAGCAUACAUUGGUAGUCCACCACUAGAUUACUGACGUAGGGCGAGUGAGGUUUAAGUUUAUGCAAAGUAGUAUUUUUUUCUAUAAUUAUAUAGAUCUGAUAAAUGAUUUGUGCCUUUCACAAUGGACAGUUAUGCAUUAUUUAUGAUGCCAAAGUGUAUACCCAACUUAACAUCCAUGCUGUGCAGGCUUAUGAAGAUUUAGACGAUCAAAACCACAUGGCUCUGGAAAUUUUGUCAUUUUCUGAUGGAAAAGAAGCUGUAACCAAAGCAGCUAACUUACUUUUUGUGAAGUAUUUGAAGUUGGCCAAAUCAGUUGGAGAUCAUGAAGAGAAAAUCUUUACAGAACCUAACAUGGAUGAGGCACUAAAAGCUAUUUGUAUGUUCUACGGUCAGAUGCUCAAUUGCCUACAAUAAGGGUUACCUGCACAAUUCAAUUUGACCUUACAGGUGUUUAUGGUAAUAUGCUUUCAGGUUGUAGAGGGCCAGACCCUGAAAGCAUAUUCUACCUGGAAAGGAUACAAAAGGGCUAUGAAGAGUAAUCCUAAGAUAACUUCAUCAGUGAUAUUCUUGACUAAGACGAAUGAGGUUUUAAAACAAAUCUUAUUUUGACAGACAUGGGCUUUGAGAAUUUCAAAGUUUAAUUGGAGUGACUUUCCUGAAGCAGUACUUAGCGAUUCAGACUUAUUGUUUGGACCUGGAGAGAAGACUCGGUUGACAGGAAGACUUUGAAAAAACUACAGAAUAAAAAGCAAACUUCAAACAUAAAGAAGAUGACCAGUGACUUUGAACUGCAGAGAAGCAAACCACUCAAUCUCCAGUUCCCUUCCAAAAGUCAUCCUCUUAUUUUUCCAGAAGUGGUUGUCACCUUUUUAUUGUUGAAUCCAAAUAUAAUAGCAUCACCAAUCCAGUCACAAUUGCAAAGUCAUAUUUUCCUCCAAAUUGUCAUUUUGUGCCUCAAGCUCCUUACAAAUCCCUCAAAUAUUAUAGGGAUAUCCUUCAUGAGACCCAGUCAAUCGAAAUUAAGCCCAUCAAAGAUCGUAAUAUAUAUAUACAGUCAUGAUCUCUUGGACUACAAGGGUCCAAGAGAUUUGUGGUCACUCACCGUUGGAUGUAAAUUCAACGGUUCACUCACUCUUACACUCCUUUUAAGAAACUUUUUUGAACCAUUGGAUUAAUAUCCAACGGUGGGUGACCACAAUCUCUUGGACUCCUGUGGUCCAAGAGAUCGGGACUAUAUAUAUAUAGGUUAUUAAGCGUGCUAUAGUUUAGGGAAUCUGUUGUUAGGUGAAAAAAGUAUUGGUUCAUUAAAUUCAACGGCAAAUGGUGUAAUUUGUUAUUAAAAAUAGGGGCUAGUUAAAUGGUGUGUUUAUUAAUUAGGAAUUGAAUUCUACUUAUGAAGGAUUUCUGUGUUCACUUCACAUCAAGUAAUUAAAAAGUAAGUGGGAUCCAUACAAAAUUAGGAAUUGAAUUCCUGAUUUUGGAGUAAUUCAAAUCUUGGGUGGGAGGUAAUAUUUUAAUUCACAGAGAAGUAACCUAUUAUGAAUUCAUCUUUUUUAUCCAUUAUAUCCUCACACAAAUUUAAAAUUUAAAAUUUGCCAUCUACUUUAACCUAACAACAAGGACAUUUUAGUAAUGAGUACCAUUCAUACCCCAAUUCCAUAUGGUGUAGUAAACAACUUCAACGGGAAUCCAGAAUUUAACUCUCCUCAAUCCAUAUGGUUUAGUAAACAACUUCAAUAGGAAUCGUGAAUCUAAUUCUUCUUAAUCCAACUCCUCCUCAACUCCCCCUCAAUUUAUUUAUGAUGUAUUGUAUGAGAACUGUAAUUCGUAAUAAAAGAACUGUCCUUUGUCCUUGAUAUGAACUCAAACUUGUUGUACUAGUUGUUUUACAUUAAUAAUAUUUUAUCGCUUAUCAUUAAAAAAAAAAAACAAGAGAAAAGGUAUAUAUGUAAUUGUUUUCCCAAUAACAUGAAUGCUGGUUGGGUGUCAAUAUCAAUUAUUGUUAUAGGUCCUUGGUGAGCUAUUAAUGAGAAUAUUCUCAUUAUUGCUUUUGACACAACAAAAAAAAUAUCACAAAGGGUAGGCACAUUAUAAAAUCCUUUCCAAUAAAAAUAUAUAAAAUAUAUAAAAUAUGUUUUCUCCAUUGCGUAGAAAACAUUUAUACUCAAAUAAAUUUAAUUAUUGUAAAUGGAUUUAUCCGUACGCCGGGGUUGGUGUUCUUUUGGGAUACAAAUUCUGGUUUCUGUUAGCAGGGCCAAUCCAGGAUUGGAUAUGGAGGAUAUGGAUUUAUCCAAAUAAAUGAGGGACUCAAAUGGUAAAACGUUCUCGAGGGGUUAACUUAUCCAAGCGGAUCAUAAGAAGUAAAUACAUUUUAUCUUUACAUAGCAGCCACCUCAUGCUAACACUCUCAAAAUCAAUGUGGAUGGUGCUUGGAAGCCAGGGACCACAGCGAGGGUGGCGUUGGUCUGGUUGUAAGACUCCAGCGGCAAAUUUGUGGUGGGUUGUGGGAUUAAAAUGGAUAAUGCAUUCUAUGCGCUAUAAGUUUGUGGCGGGUUAUGGUGUUAAAGUGGAUAAUGUAUUCUCUGAGUCAUAAGUGGAGGCUUUGACUGCAAUAACAUGUACAAUAUUGGCAAUGGAAACGGGUUUGAAACUGAUGCUCUCUAGGUCACUUGAUAAAGUAUUACUCAUAUUCGUCAUACUGACAAUCCUGAUUUUAUUUUAUUUUCGAUGUAUUAUAUUUGUAUAAGGAUUGUAAUUCAUGAUUCAGAAACCGUCCUUAGCCCUUAAUAUGAAAUCAAACUCCUUGUACUAGUUGUUUCACGUCAGUAAUAUUUUAUUGCCUAUCAUAAAAAAACAAAAGAUAAGGUAUAUAUAUGUAAUUUUUUUCCCAAUAACAUGAAUGAUGGUUGGGUGUCAAUAUCAAUUAUUGUUAUAGGUCCUUGUUGAGCUAUUAAUGAGAAUAAAAAAGUCCACUUUUCCAAUAGAGAAAGAGAGUGAUUCCUCUAUUGCUUUUGAAAGAACAAAAAAAAAAAAAAACACAUUAGAAAAUCCUUUCGAAUAAAAAGAUAUAAAAUUUAUUUUCUCCAUUACAUAGAAAACAUUUUUACUAAAAUAAAAAGAAGAGUAUUUAAAUCCUACUAGUCAUAAUAAAAAUCCCUAGUAAACCCUAGUGGACUGGACUUUAAAUCCUAGUUGACUUGACUUUUGUUUUCGUCACCAUCGCCUUGCUUGCUCUGCCUGAGCACGGCAUUCGCCUUUUUCCACCUGUGAUAUUUACCAAACAGCACCUCCGUCUCUUCAAGGGUUCUUCCCCUGGUUUCGGGGAGCAACAUAUAAAAGAAGACCCAACUCAACGCAGCAAUCCCUGCGUAGAGAAAGAAGGCCCCACCAAUCGUAAUGGUCUUGUAUAGUGAGAGAAAAGUCAUGGAUAUGACGCCACUUGUCGCCCUGUUCACGGCCACUCCCAUACUAACUCCUUGCGCGCGUAGCUUCAGCGGGAAGAUCUCAGAGCUAUAAACCCAUGUUAUGGGCCCCAACCACCAUGGUGAUGCACAAUGCGAUGGCCCACGGGACCGUGUCGCGGUGAUGAUCGAUGAUCGUGAGACCCACCCCGAGGCAUACGAGCGAAAAUAUCAUCCCAGCCACGCUGGACAAAAGCAACCAGCGCCGCCCGAACCGAUCAAGGAAAAACGUGGCGACCAAGAUGGCAAUGGUCUUGACAAAUCCAACGCCCACGGUUGCAAGGAGCCUCUGGUCGUAAGAUUUGAGCCCCGCCUUCUCGAAGAUCCUGGGGCUGUACAGGACGACAGAGUCUAUGCCCGAAGCUUGUUCGAAGAAGUGGAUGCCGAGGGCUGCGAUCAAAAUGUGGCGCACGGCUGGCGUCGGGUGCAAGAUCAAGUCUUUCCAUACGCCUUCACCAUGGCUUUUCUUCGAGACCGGAACAACGUCGUCGUCUAGCUCUUUGGCGAUGCCUGCGGCUUCUUUGAUGUCGUCUAGCCUCAACUGGGCCUCUUCCUUGGAGGCUGAGGUUUUGUCGAGGACGCGCUUGGCGUCCCCAAGUCGCCCCUGCAUGACGAGCCAACGCGGCGACUCUGGCACGGCUAAGACGCCGAUGGCGAGAAUAAUGGCUGGAAGGGCGCCGAUGCCGAGCAUGAACCUCCAAUAGAGGUGAGCUGGGAGCUUGGAGAAGGCGUAGUUGGAGACAUACCCCAAUAAUAUGCCAAUAUUGACGAACACCUGUAAAUAUUUAUCCAAAUAAAUCAAAUAAAUUAGUAUAAAUUCUACACCUAUAAACCACAGAAAGUCAUAUAACACUUGCCAAAAAAACACAUACAACCCGUUCACCUCAUCUAUUUAAUAAAUCUUACGUUGUCAAAAGUUGUUUCCAACCACAUCCACAUCCAAAAGUACAAAAUCAAAAUCAAACAAAGGGUAUAUGGUGGGGAGAACUGGAUAAACAUCAUCACAGGUAUCAAAAGCUGUUUCACAUGAUGUCUCCAAAAGUGCUUCCCAGAUUGUGAAAUGUGAUGAUAUCACAAUUGAGGAAACAAACACUUCCUACUUUUGUUUCACAUGAAACCAGCUUAGUUUUGUUUCGGGCUCAAAAACAAAAAACAAAAGGUAAAUAAACAAACAAGGAAAGAAAACAAACCUCAGGGAAAGAUGUGAGGAAGCCACGGGACAAAGUCGGAGCGAUCUCGGCGGUGUAGACCGGAGAAAUCAUGAGACCGUAGCCAACACCGAUUCCAGCAACGAACCGGCCGAACAUAAGGAAGGUGUAGCCCUGGGCGACGCCCAUGAGGAUAGCUCCGACCGAGAAGAUGGCUCCGGAGAGGAAGGCGGUGUACCGGCGCCCGAUCCAAUCGGAGGUUCUGCCGGCCAAGGCGGAGCCGAGGACAGAAUAGAUGUUCAAUGUGCCGGUAAGUAUUUGAAUCUGGACGUCGUUGAUUUUGAGGUCAUCUUGGAUGAAGAGGUUCGCCCCACUCAUCACACCAAUAUCUGUAAACAAAAGUGACCACGCUCAGUUCAUACACUCCAAAACCAACAAUUUUUUCUUGCAAAAUUAAGAUUAAAAAAGUAAGAGAAAACGAUUUCGAGUGCUAAUAGGAUAAUUACCGUAGCCCAGUAAAAUUGAUGUCGUGCAAGCCAUAAGGGAGCAGGCAAUGGCGAAUUUGUUUCUCUUGGGUUUCUGUGGCGGAUCAAAGUCUUCAGCGAUCGGGUCAGCCAUCUCGAUCUAGAGAGAGAGAGAGAGAGAGAGAGAGAGAGAGAGAGAGAGAGAGAGAGAAGUAUCAGAGAGCGAGCAGCGACAGGGAGAGAGUGAGAGAGGAAUAGAAUAUAAUUCAUUCAAUAUAUAAGCAAACUCUUUCUUAAAGUAGUAUUAGUUAUUGUAAGGGGAUUUAUCCGUAUGCCAUGAAAAAUGCAAUUGCAGAAGUCUUUCCUGAAAAGUUCCUGAAAAGUUCCUAGUAAAAGACUAGGCAUCGAUUGUGCUUGUGGCAUAUAAUGAAGAAAGUUCCUGAAAAGUUGAAAAGUUACAAGAAAUAUGAGUCCAUUGACUCGUUAUGAAUUUGAAGAGCGUUGGGUUGAGAUGAUUGCCAAAUACGGGUUGCAUAAUAAUGAUUGGUUAAACAGCAUAUAUAAAGAGAGACAUCAUUGGGUGCCAAUAUUUGUAAAAAAUCAUUUUUUGGCAGGAAUGUCUACCACACAACGUAGUGAGAGUAUGAAUGCAUUUUUUGAAAAUAAAAGAGAGGUUAGCAAAUAAAAGAGCUACAACUUAUACAAGUGAUGUCUUUUGUCAAGAUGUCUUACAUAUUUUACUUGAAAUUUUUGUAGAUACCUGCACAAAGUGAUGUCUUUUGUCAUACUGAUGCUCCACCAAUUUGUGAAAGUGAUAACUUGGUUGGAACACAAGAGAGCAAUAAUGCUGUAUUGGUAUGACAUAAAUAUAUUAUUGUAAUUAAUUCUAAUAAUUGUUAUUGUGUAUUGUAGGACAAUAUGGCUUUGUUACUAGGGCUCACUCAUGGUGGUCAUCCAGAUCAGUUGUACAAACGACCAUUGACAGGAAAUAUAACACAUUUUAACGUAAUGUUUUAUUUAUCAUUCUCAUGUCUCAUUUAUCCUUUGUCACAUGUAGCGUGACCAAUAUCAAAAUUGGAAUGGAGGUUCUGGUUUGUACAACCUAGCUCUAGUUCAAGAGGAAAUGAUCACCAACAACUCAAAUGAAAAUAGAAGCAAAAGUUAAAGGAAUAUCUUGUGGAAUUUUGUAUUGAUAAAGUGAUUUAUUAGUCUAUUUAGCACCAAUAAUAUUUUGUUUUUUAUAUAGAUAAUGCAUGACAUAUACUUUAAAAAUGAAAAUUAUUUACAAGGAAAACACAGUGAUUGAACCCAACCAUUAUAAAGCAAUGAUAGGUGACUGCAUCACUUCAUACAUUAGGAUUUCUUCAAAAUUUGACAUACAAAUUAUUGACAUACUUGCACGCAAAAAGCUUGAGUGCAACAACAUGAACUUUGCCUUUUGAAUUCAAUUUUGUACAAUACUUCUCAUAGGAACCAAAUAUGUAACCAGGGGAAACGACACAUCCACAAAGUAUGCAAUUGGUUCCUGUUUCAUUUCUCUUUCUUCGUAUUCCUUGGUAUCAAAAUGUGGAUACAUUGGUCGAUUGGAAUUUCAACCUUGAAUUUCAAAUUUCAGCAAUGACCUCAAGCUUGAAAGCUUCCCAGGUGGAUCACCAACCUUCGAAUCUUUGUCCCUGCAUACAAAUAUGAAGUAAAGCAAACCCAUGAGAGAAACUAUGACAAAGAGGAAAAAAAAACAGCCCAAGUAUUCAAUCAAAUUAUAAGAAAACUUCAGUAAUAUUUACCAGGGAAUUCCAAACAUGUUCUAGAGCCAAUCAAUUUUGAUAAACCUAGAAGACUGUAUAACAAGAUAGAAAAAUUCCCUCUCUCGGAAAAAGAAAAAUCAAGGAAGACAAACACAACAUUCCCCAGUUUGACAAGUCAUGGUAGCAGAGUAUCAAUAUAUAAUGUAAAAUUCCCAACAAACAUUUGAUGCAAAGAUGAAACUUAAGAUUUCCCGCAUACAGAUCAUGUUUUCAUCACGUACAGAAAUCAGGUCCCUAAAAAUAUGACAUACACAAAUAUACAAAUAAAAUACAGAGGAUUGUUUUGGAUAGGUAUAUAGAGGAAAUAUGGAUAUCUCCAUUCAAUUGGCACCCUUAUUGAUUGUCCUAGCAAUAUAAACAAAUCAGGAUUUGAAAUUUCUUUUAUGGAUCAUGAAUCAAUCUUAUGACUCAAAUUUGAUAAUUUAUCCAUAGAUCAUAAAGAGUAAAAGCUUCUGACUUAUGUUUUCAUACUUGCAGGUUCUAAUUGAUUCAGAACCGAAAAAUGGUUAAAAUUAUUUAAAAAAGGCAUAAAAAGAAACAAUGGAGAAUGACCAUAAGUCAUCAAUGGAGGAGAACGAACAUGAAAAUAUAUAGCAUCCCAAUCAAAAAAAGAACUGAUAGAAAAGAAAAGAAAAAAAAAUCAUAAAUACUCACAAUAACCAAAGGAGGGACAUUGGAGUGCCAAUUCAUGGUGUAGGAGGAUAGCAGAUGAAAAAGGCGAGAGGAGACGUUGACUGUAGAAGAGAAGAGGAACGAAGGAGAGGAGGAGGGAGAACCAAUUUUCACGUUCGCUAGGGUUUUUCUGUUUUUUCUUUUUUUUUUUUUUUUCUUUUUUGCCAAUUGAUAAAGGUUAAAAGAAAUAAAAAAUUGAAAUAAUUUUAAUUGAUGUGGCUGUUCACCUCAGCUGUCACAUAAAGUGAAAUAAUAGGUGGUAUACAAAAUGUAAGAGUAGCAUUAUUGAUAUAAAAAAGUAUGCUUUUCCUUUUUCCAAGAAACAUAGUGUAAUACUAAAUUGUUG
RNAcentral lists this long non-coding RNA (69445 nucleotides) under Prunus persica (peach). RNAcentral's name for it is "long non-coding RNA (PPER_LNC008305)". Lineage: Eukaryota; Viridiplantae; Streptophyta; Magnoliopsida; Rosales; Rosaceae. The record is from RNAcentral.